UUUUUUUUUUUUUUUUUUUUGUCGCAACGAUAAAAUUCCUAUAACCUAAUCUAGCCUAAUCUAGGGGGGGAAGGGGACUCGAUGUGAGUAGAAACUCCAUCGAAGAAGCAGGUUCUAAGUGCUAUACUAUGAAGUUGUUUUGACUUUAAAGUGAAUGCUACAAACUCCUUAAAUAAUUUAAUUGUCAUCCAAAUGAGACAAAUUGUCACCGUGAUAAAGGAUUGAUCGCUCAACUGUAUAAAAAAUCUAAAAAAAAAAAAAAAGCUGUCAAUCAUGCAAAUAUUAUGCAUUUUUUGUGUCAUUGUAGUUGGUCCUUUUCCUUUUUCUUGUCUCCAGAUAAGUACCUGGUUUUUGAUGUCAUUGGAAUUUUGAUAUAUGAAGCAGACCAUAACCUUUGUUCCCGUGGCUUUUGAUAAGUUCUCAAAUUUGGAAAUUGCCUUUUCCAUUGGUUCCCCUCAAAUAUCCAAAAAAAAAUUCCUCUAUCCCCAAAUCUUCUCACGUCAGUGGCAAUUAAUGUCUCAAAGCCAAACGAGUUUUUUUAACUGCAUAAAAUGAUAGACGAAUCUCGUGAACAAUAUUGAUGAAAUGCUUAUGAAUAUGGUAGCAGGUAAAAUGUAAAGAAACCCCAAGCAUUGCAAAAUGAAUCAACCUAAAAAGCAUAGCAUACAAAUCAUUACCAAAGAAAACCUAUAGAUAAAUUGAGGAUAACGUUAAGAAAAUAUUCUAAAGAAAUAAACAGCUAUGUUCUUCUAUCUUUUGACAGACACGAGCUGUGAAUUUAAGCUAAUGGCAAAUUAUAUUUUACCCCCCUGUGGUUUAGCGCUUUUUUACAUAACCUCCCUAUGGUUUCAAAAGCUAUACGUAACCUCCUCAUGGUUUAGAUUAAAAUGUCAAAGUGACGAAAAUAGUCAUUCGUAAUGGAACUUCUAAAAAUGUCAAAAUUACCCUUAUAAAUACAUAGCACACUAACCCCGUAUGAUUUUUAUAUUUUACCAUAUAACCCCCUUAUGGUUUAAUAUUUUACUAGAUAACCCUUUUAUAGUUUUCAAAAUAUACACAUAAUCCCCUUGGUUAAUAAAUAAUUUUCAACUUUAUAUAAGGGUAUUUUUGAUAUUUUAGGUGACUCCGUUACGAAUGAUCAUUUCCAUCAUUUUGACACUUUAAUCCAAACUAUGAGGGGGUUAUGUAUAACUUUUGAAACUAUUGAGAAAUUAUGUAAAAAUUACUAAAUCACAGGGGUAAAGUGCAAUUUGCCCUUUAAACGAUCCUUCACAUAGAACUUACCCUGGAUACUCCUAUGAGUUUUCAGUAGUCUUUUAUCACAUUUGAAUUGGAAUAACAUUAUCAAAGAUCAAGGAUCGGUUAGUAAGUCAACUAUUCAUCAGUUCAACCUAUUUUGGCAUGUAUUUGUAAAACAAGACAGACCAAUAAUAGCCGGUCCAACUAAAUGACAUUCAUGGGAGGAAAACCACUAUGUUUUCAGAACCGGACCGGAUAUCGACUUGGUCGAGCUCAGGGGUCAGGGGUCAAUGGGUUCAACCGGGUUCGAUAGGGGUUGAACCGGAUGACGUCAUAAAUAAAAUUUAUUUAAAAAUUAAAAUAUUAUAUGUAAAAUACUUAAUAACAUGUUAAUAUUAAUAAAGGUAUAUUCAUAUAUAUUUGAUGUUUCAAAUAUAUUUAAUAAGAAAAUACAAAUAAAUUAGAGCAAUCAAGUAGCAAUUUAUAUUAUUGAAUAAGCAUUAACAAGUUUAGAAUUAAAAUUAUGGACUUAAUUGAAAAAUAACACCAAACUUUAAGACAACAUUUAUAAAGUAUGAAAUAUUCGAGGUAUGUUAAUAAUUUUUAACAACUUAAGGAUCAAAACAUCAUAUUAAAAAUAUUCUGCCCUUUCAAAAAAAGUAAAAAAAAAAAAAAAAAGAGACCGGGUUCAUUUUUCCGGUCAAAACCCGGUCACCUGGUUUGACCGAGUUGUUGAUUUCCCGAUUUUUAAGAUUAACUUGGACCGGCCAACUGGCCGGUUCCCGGUUCGACCGGUCGAACCGGCCGGUCCGGUCCGAGUUUGAAAACAGAGGAAAACCAACGUUAGGUGCACUAAAUAUAUCAUACACUAACACAGGGCAUGGAGUAAUAUUCUGCCAUACUGCACAUGGGCCAACAUUUAUAGCCUUAAACCACAGUAUGUAAUUUUUCAGCACAUUUAAAGAGACAAUUAACUGUCUUCUUCAUCAAUCAAAAGAAACUACAUGACAAAGUACUUGUCAAUUUCAUUAAACUUACCUUUGUCCACCAAGUAAAAUGGGUGAUUACAGACAAAAUCUUCAAUAUUUUCUCAUCCCAAACUAAAUAGCAAAUUAGUAACACAAGUAAACACUAAACCCUUAUCAAUUUUCACCAUUUGCUUCCAACAUAAAAUAAAGCAGUCAUUUCCAAGACCCCCCUAACCUAGGAAAAAUAUUUAAAAUGGCAGAGUAAGUUAAAUUUUCUAUAAGAAAACAAAAAAUAUAUAUAUUUCUUUGCUAUGAGCUGAAGAAACAGGAAAAGUGUCAGGAAGAAACUUUGUAAAUGUAGAAAAUAAGCAUGAUAGAAAUUUGGUGACUUUUGAGGAAAUAAGAAAAAUCAAGUAAAACUUUCUUGCUGAUCUGCAUUUAAGCGUGGAAAUUUAGUGCUUUCUAUCAUGCUGCUUCUAUUUUUGAACAAAGUAAAGGGCUAAAGAAAGUUUCUGAAAUUUUUUGAAUUGAAUUUUCAUCCUUUUAAAAGGACAAAGAAAAGAUUACAACAAUCGAUGGCCAAAAAAGGAGUAUAGAAAAUACAGAACAAAUUAAACAGAGAAAGCAGGAUAAAAGGGGAAGAAAAUAUCAUUGAUAUUCAGACAGGAGGAAAAGAGAGAUGGAAAGAGACAAAACAGGGGAAUGAAUAAAGGUAAGAAGAGAAAUUCACCGAAGGAAAGAAAGGAUCAAUUUUCUUUGUCUAAAAGCCCAUUGGCAUCUGAACUCAAUUACCAGUGGGAGAGAAAGGAUCACCAUUUUCAUCUAGUGCUCCUAGCCAUCUAGUCAUGAAGCUACGAAGUCCUUAGACAGUGUAUGAACUUUGGCAUUCUAGUAGUGCUGGAGUUUUUCAUGCUAAAUAAGUCUGUGGUACUAUCGUGGCAUCCGUUGUGAAUUCUGUGCAGCUUGUGGUACUUUCUUGGGAAAGAAUUCCAGGAACAGAGAGAAUUGGGAAUUGGCAUCAGAAUGGGGAAUGCUUUUCCAUAGAUUUUUGUUGUUCUUUUUAACACUUAAAAAUACACUAAUAACAGUAUAAGAAAUAUUAAUCCAAUAUAAAAAUAAUAACUGUAAAAGUUUUUUUGAAUAAAUUAUAUUUUACCCCCCUGUGAUUUUGUAUUUUUUACAUAACUCCUCUGUAGUUUCAAAAACUAUACAUAACCUCUCAUACUCUGGACUCUAAAAGAAAUAAAUUAUCCUCAAUUCCUGUGGAUUCGACCCUGCUCACUGCUAUAUACAAGUUUGUAUUUUUCUUAAGUAGGUAUUUAUUAUUGAACAGGCUCGACACCUGUCAGCCAAAUGCUUUUAGGCUUUUGUCCUGUUGAAUUCUAUACUAGGAAAACUUGCAUAAUCAAUUAGUAGGAAAACUUGUUAAAUUUAAAAAUGAGAACACUUGGUCUCGAAAGGUAAUGAUUGAAAUUUAUUGAGCACCCAUCUAGUAAUUACAAUUUAUUUUGUCAUUUUUAUUAACUUAUUCCCAUGUACUCCUUUCCGUUUUUUAAAAUGAUUCUUGACUUUGAGGCCUUACCUACCUACAACCUGGCAAACAAACUUGAACUAUCCUAUUACUAAAUAUACGCAUAAGACAAAAAAUCCAUAAUAGUAUUAGUGUCCAUAAUCUAUGGGAAUGACAUGGUGAUUAGGCGAAUAGAUUGAGGGAAUUUUCAAUUUUUCAUGAAGAAGGCUGUGUGGAAGGUAUUAGGGAAGAAGGUUUGAUUAGGCACUGAGAUAGGUAUAUAAUCAUGCAAUACUUAUUAGUUUUAUUAUUGUCCCAUGAAUUGAUCCAAGCCUCCAAUAAUUUUGUUAUUCUAAUUUUACUUUUUUUUGUUUUCUUUUUUAACUGUUAAAAUAUAUUGAUUGUGUGGUCUUGUGGUUGUUCCAUCUUCCAUUGAGUCAAGGGAGGUAAAUGUAAGUGAUUAAAUUGGAGGGGAGCUUCCUGCAAUUUUAUGAACCCUUGGAGGAGCUAAUUUCAGCAUUGCACCAAAGAAUGAAGUUUGAUGUCCAAGUUAAGGCUUUGAUUAGGGAAAAGUUCCUAAAUUUCAAUGAAUUAUUUUAAUUGUAAAGUUUUGACCACUUAAAUAUAACUAACCAAAAAAAAAAGAAAGAAAAAUAUAUUAAUAAAUGGGAAAUUUUUUUCUCUUUCCUAUUCUUGGACAAAGAGGAACCACACCUGGUGAAAAGAGACAGAAAAAAAAAAUUCCACUCAAUAGGCAAGAGACUUGCAAUUCUUCUCAGCCUGAAAGAGUACAUUUCAUCUUGCAUAAUACAACUGUUGGAUUCUUAUUUCCUCACCAUACUUUUAUAGACCAAGGAUAAGCAUAUGUAUAAGUAAUGGUAAAUAUCCAAGGGAAAAAUGAAUAGAAUUAGCAACUUAUGUAGUCAAUUUUUGUUGACAGUAAAUUAUAGAUAACCUCAUCUAGCAUAAUGCCUUUUCAAAACUUUACAAUUAACCUUAAAAUCUUUAACCUCAAGAAUUAAAAAAGGAAAUGAGCUUGUAAGAAAUUAAUAAAUUUGGUAUCAACAAAAUAUAUUGGCAAAUUUUUAUGAACAAAAUUUUCGAAAGCACUUUGUCAAAAUGCAAGUGUCAAAAGAUAAUGAUCAAUGACACUUAAACAUGAAAUGACAAUUAUGUAGUUUUGAUUAAAUUAAAAGACACAAAUAUGUUUUUAUGUACCAAGGAUCCACAUUGCAGUGAGGUUCGGUUUGAGCUUGUAAACUAUUUCCUUACCGUAGGGUAAACCUUUUAUAUAUUGACGGUGUAUAUACUAGUGGAUCUACGUGCAUAACACGCCAUAUAUAUAAAAUUUAAUGUUUAAAUUCAAAUUCAAAUGAUUUAGCAUCUAUUCAACUCUGUCAGUAUCCACGAACAAUGUAGGAAAGAUUAAUCCAUAAAAAUAGGGGAAAUAUACAUAGGGGAAAAUGAACUGAAAACAACCAGUUCAUCACUCUUCUGCUCUACCAACUUUGCUCCAAAAUGCAACUGCAGUUCUUGGCUUCAUGCUAUUGGAGCUGAUGUUCCCGAGGAAGUUUCUGUACCACUUGGCGGAGGACCUAGGAGUUCGAUUCAAGGUUGCACGAUCAACAGAAUAAAAUCCAAACUUUACAUCAUAACCCGAUGACCAUUCAAAGUCAUCCAUCAAUGUCCAGACAAAGUAGCCCCUCACAUCUGCACCAUUUCUGUCAAACAAAAGUAUGUAAAUUGAUCAGCUAUUCUAGCAAAGAUUUUCAGUACGAAAGAAAGCAUGCAUCAAGAAAAACAUGAAAUCAUGAAUCUUUUUUGUACGAGAGGUGAUAUGAUUUGUUUAAAUGCAUUCAUACCUUGCCCGAAGGAUGAGAGGCAAAAGGGGAAGGCUUAUAGGCUAUAGCUUCUUAAAGAAAAAAUGUUCCAUAGUGUUGAAAAAUUUAUAAACCUUUUUUAGUUUCUAAAUCAGUAGAAAAGAGAAUAUUUAUCCCAUAAUUGGCGAAGAAUCUGCUCGACAAAAGCAUCAUUAAUGGCAGUAGAUGAGGAUAGAUGAAUGUGACUACAAUCAUGGGAACAAUAUCACCUCAUGGCUCGAGCCAAGAAGGCAAGGUAUGCUUUGUGGAAUGCAAUUCGCUUGACAUCAAGCUGGAAGUCAUCAACUUGUUCUUGUUGUGGAGGUGUAGAAUAACCUACAGAUUGGUUAAAAUCAUGAGUUCUCAAUGGUAAGACAAAUGAUAACAGAAGCAUGUUAUCGAAAGUAUAUUUUUACCAUUUUCAGUAAUAAGCAUAGGCUUGUUAUGGUAUCGAUUCUUUACAUAGUCCACAAUCUCUUCCAUUCCUCUUGGAACAACAGAGAAUGUAGGCAACCCUGUCUGUUUAAACCAGAAAAAAAAAUCAUGAGGAAAAAAAAAACUAAUCUUAAGAGUCAUAUAGCAAUCUCAAUUUGAUAUUUCAGCGAAUAUCUGAUUCUCGUACUGGUUCCCCAAUCAAAACACCACCACGCUCUGCAGUAGUACAGACAAAGCCGCGGAUGGCACGGUCUCCACCAGGGGCACAGGCAGAGUCGGAGCUGGCACAACUUAAGCGUAUGCAGUCCUUAGCAUAAAGAGUUGCAUAGUGGUUCAGUCCAAGGAAGUCAAUGCUAUCCCUUAUGAGCAGUCUUUCUUCUGGUGUAAAUUUGGGUAACUCAUUUCCGUGAUAGCGACGCAUUUCUGGAGGAUAAUCACCAAACACUAGAGGAUCGAAAGCCCUGUUUUAUAAACAUAGCACAUCAAGAACGUGUCAUCUUGUCUUAUUUUGAUUUAUUUCACGUAGAGAAGCUUCUUGAUUUCAAUCUUUCAAUCCAACGAGGCUUCAAUCGCGUGAGAGGAGAGGACAGUAAAAGCUCCCAAUCUCAGGGUAAAUGGCACAGCUUAAGGAGGAGAUGUCAACACUUACCAUGCCACAUUAUUAGCCAAUGCCCUCUUUACAGCUUCCUUGUCAUGCUCAUCAUCAGUAAAUGGUUCGUACAUAAUUGCAUGGACCACAAUUCCAAUUACACCACCUUUUUUGGGCUGUCCCAAGAUUGGUAUGGCGAAAAAAAAGUAGUUUAGCUGUAUAAUCCAGUAAAACAGCAGAUACUGUAUAUCAUUGAUGCCAAACGAAGUAUUUUACUUGCCUGAAACUGCUCGCGGUAGAGUUUGGAAGCCUUGGCAUGGGCAAGUAACAUGUUAUGCAUUGCAAUCAAGGGCUCAGUAUCUGAAUUACCAGCUGAGCAGUUGCCAAAAGGAGGGGAGCAAUGACCUGGAGGAUGUUUUCCCCUUUCAUAGGCAAAAUCUGCAGCCAAAUUUGGUUCAUUGAUGGUCACCCAAUACCUCACCCGAUCACCAAAAUUCUUGAAACAAGUUUCAGCAAAAUGGACGAAAUCAUCCCUAAUUCAAUUCACAUAGACCCAAGAUUUUGAUCAUAUUGCGGAGUUAUAUACCAUUCACAUAAAAUCCAUAAUCAGAAAUCCAGCAUAAUAUUAAGUUCAACAUACUGAAUCAGAGGAUUUAGCCAGCCCCCAUAUUCGUCACUAAGCACUUGCGGUAUGUCCCAGUGGUGAAUUGUCACAAAAGGCUGAAUGCCUGCGUUGGAUACAAUGUGAUCUAAAGCUCUCAAGCGACACAGUAGUAAUAAAUAAGAGAUGAAGGGUGGAAGAAACAUGUGAUGUUUGCUCAAUACCUCUGAGUAGAAGAUUAUCGAUUAUACUACUGUAAAACAUGAUUCCAGCUGCAUUAACACCACCCAAUUUCCCAUCUAAACAAACCAUUCAAAGAUUUAUUGUGAGUUUGUGGCAUUCCAAGAAAAGAAGGGACCAAAAGGGAUUAUACCAUUGAGGGUAAACUACUUAAAGGGCCUCUAAACUAUUUCAAUUGUCAACUUUGACGUCUCAUUUAUUUUAAAUCACAAAUUGAUCCACUAAUAAUAAGAAUAGUCAAAUUUUGAUCAUGUAGUCAACUUCUAUCAUUAGAUCCGUUAAAUUUUUGCUUAGAUCCAUCAGAUUGACUAGUGGAGAUGGACUAAAGGAUCAAAAUUUGACAUUUUUUAUGGUUGAUGGACCAAAUUGAGACUUGAAAUAGAUGAGAAGUCAAAACUUAAUUAUUGAAAUAGUUUGGGAACUCCUCAAGUAGUUUAUCCUUGGAAGGAAAAUAACACACUUGGAAGUAUUCUUGACCAGGAAAUGGAGAACCGGUAAGCAUCCACUCCAAGAGAAUGGAUUGUCUCUAUAUCUUCCUGUCAUGAAUGAUUCAAAAGCCACAUGCUUUAAAUGGAUUCAGUGCUUGAAAUCUUUAAUGUACAUCUUCAUAUCAUUCAAGUAAAAUGUUAAGGGUAAAGUGAAAGGAUAUCAGAGUACUGGAGUUGGUAACUUAGUUAAUUUGGUACCAGGUAACGAUGGUAAUGAUCAGUGGCUAUAUCUCCAGUGUCUCCAUUGUUUACAUUACCUAAUACAAUUUGAAACAAAGUAGAAACUUAAUCAGAUUUCUUUAUCCAAAAUUGUAUAGAAAAAGACAUUGUUAUAAGCAGCAGUAAAAAAGUAUCCCUAUCACCAUUUUUAUGGACAAAAACAUCCCAGUUACUAAGGCUCUUCCCAUCUUCAAGAAUUGCACCCUCAAUCUAAAACCAUUGGAGUAGUGUCAUGCUAGACAAAUUUCAAGAGAACUGCAUGGAAAAAUACAUCACCAAAAACACAGGCAAAUACACAAAAGUUAAAGAAACACAUGAUUUGUAUACUUGAUAGGAAGAAGUGGCAACACCAAAGAGAAAUCCAGUUGGGAAAUCUGAUCUUUUCACAUCUUCAAGCUCUUCUUCUAUUCCAUUGCCUCCUUCUUGAAGGGCUCUUGCAUAAGGAUUUGCAGAAAUGAGCAAUAUGAAGAGAAGAAGAGAGGAGGAGGAUAGCAUAGUGGUGACCUUCAUAAGUUGAUUAUUCGAGUGGUGUCAUGAUAGUGCUAAAGAUAAUUUAUUCUUUGAUUUGGCAUAACAAGAGACAAGAAGAUCACUUGUCUGAAAAUAGAAACAAGACAUAAAAAAUUAAUGGUAGUUGAGACAAUAUCCAACUUCAGAUGAUCACUUGUUGGAUGAAAUCUUAUGACAAUACCUUCUACCUAGUCAGAAACGUGUAUAAAUAAAGUGUUUUGCUUAGGUAAGGAUGCAGCAUUGUUCAUUCAAUGCUAGUAUUAGAACCUGGAAGCUGAAUUCUCGUUUAUUUGCCUUGAAUUCAACAUUGUACAUUUUUUUUAAUUAUUAAUAAUAGGCGUUAUUUAUACAUGAUAUUUUUGCUGAUCCAUUUACGUUUGCUUUUUCUUGGGUAAAUUAGUCCUUUGCAGUUUAACGUUUUUCUAAAUAACCCUUUUAUGAUUUUAAAGCUCUCCAUCUUGACUUUAUUGCCAAAAUGACAUAAACAUUCUUCAUAAUGAAGCCACCUGAGAUGUCAAGAUUACGUGUGCUAACCACGUAGGGUUAUAUACAUUUUAAUACCAUAAAAUGAUAAUGUAAAAAAGUAUUAAACCACAAGGGAAAAAGUGUAAUUAAUCCUACAUAUACCCUUUCUUUUAUUAUUUGUAUCAUAUACCUGCAAAUUGGACAAUAAGUAUGAGAUCAAUUUAAUGAAGGUGCAAAGUAUUUGUUAAUUAACUUAGACAAAAGUAUUUGUUAAUCAAGGUGCAAAGUAUUUGUCAAUUUAAUCAAGUGCAUGUAAAAUCUAAAGAAUAUAUGAGUGAGAAAGAAAGAAACACAAUAAAUAAAAUAUGCAAUAAGAUUUUUGUAAUUUCAAAAUCACUAUUAAUUUGUGCAAGACAAAGAUCCAGAAAGAGGGAGAAGAAUUGUUGAUUGAUACAAGGCAAAACUAGAAAUAUCAUAUAAUUAACUUGGAAACAAGGGAGGUUAAGGAAAUUCAUCUGACAUUAAAACUCCAAAAACUACACGUAAUUAUGCAAUAAUUUAGCGUUGUACCCAAAAAAAACCGAAAAUGAAAAAAUGAAAAAAAAAAAGAAAAGAAAGUCUGGCCUCAUGGAAAAUGGGAGACACCAAUAAAAUGAUGUGACGCAGACUAAUUGACAGUUCCAAUUUUAAAUUAGUAUAGUCAACUAUGCCAAAGCACAGGGAUAAAUUAUUCUGCUCAAAGUCAAGCACAGCUGUCAUCCAGUUUACUUAUUUAUUUAUUUAUUUUGGCGAUGUCUGUUUCUUUGUUUUGCUUACAUUCCUUUUUUUUUUUUUUUUUAUAAACUAACCCUUAUAUUUAUUCCAACAUCCUUCUUGAAAUUGAAGCUCGAGCUUGGCUUAAUUAUGAUUUUAGUUUGAUUGAAGUGGAUCUCAAACUUAAUCAAGCUUAAUUGAGUUUUAUGCAAUAUUAAUUAAUAUAUGUGUUUUCUAAAUAAGGGAUACACUACAAAUUUUACACUUACCAAAACCAGAAAUUAAAUGAAUAUUUGUUAGGCUCGAUGACUGAUGUUUUAAGCCGCACGCAUAAUGCUUAAGUACAAGGUCAUAACUCAUAACGCUAUUCGAGCAGUUAAAAAUCAGCUCAAGUUCGGUCUACUUAAGUUCGAAUUUGAGUUUCUUUGAAUACAUAUUUACGCUAUAACUUUACCACACCACAUUAAAGCAUGACAUUCGUGGCUAUUUGACUUCUUCUUCUUCUUCUUCUUUUUCCUUUUUUUUGUUUGGUUGUUGGCAAUAAGAUUUGAUUCGAUCACAUCGCACACAUCAACAAAAGUGGAAAGGGGAAAAAGGAUCAUGACAAGUAAUAUAUUCUUUUUCUUCUAUUUGUUUUCUUCUUCACAGCUCCUUUAUUUUGCUUGUUUGGAGCACAUACAUUGCAGUUGUGUCACUUCAUUCAACAUUAUGUAAAUGUUGUCUAUCUCAAAAUCAUUUUCUUGUCUGUCAGACUCAAAUUUGUUUGUGAGAUCCACAGCUUACUAUAUGAAGGGCCCAACUUGGAAAGUUUAUCUUCAGUUAAUUUGCAUAUAGUGUGAAUAUUUUUCUAAUCUAAACAAAUACUAAAUCUUUAGGCCUAUUCGCUUGGCUAAUUAAGCAAGGUGAUGAGAAAAUGAGAGCACCACAAAUAAAAUUGCCAACAGUGCUAAAUAAAGCAAAUUUUAGAUAUUAAUAAAAAAGCAAAAAACUGUUGUAUUUACCUUGUAUAUAAAAAGAAAGAAAGGUUACUGUAGUAACUUCUCUUUUUACCAUGUGUAUAGUUACUUCUUUUGACAAGUGGCAGUUUUCUUUUUGAGUUGAAUUUUUGCUCCACAACCCUUAUCUCUAUCUUUUUUUCUUUAUCUUUCUUUUUUCCCUUCAAAAUUUUGCUGUAUAAUGAAUUAUACUAAGAUUAUUAUUUUUACUAUUUUUUAGGUUAUUAUUGUUGACCAUGGAGAGGUAUCACAACAAUCAACUGAUUUAUAUUAUCACUUCUUCCUCCAUCAAUUUUAACUCUUUAAUCCAGUAUUUUGCUUUUUCCGUUAAAUAUUUUCCUUCAUCCUAAUUUUUCUCCCUUUCCUCUUUCCACUCAGUGAAUGCAUCUUUUCCUUUUUCCUUUAUAAUUAACUAAAUGUAUGUUUUUCUUGCAUAAGAAUAGAUAUUUCUUUUGUUCCUUUGUUCAAAUAUCAUGAUUCAUGGUCAUCUCUUUCUUUUAGAAAAAAACAUAGACAAUAGACAUUUUACCUCCGCUAUUCCUAUUGUAUGGUAUGUUCCAUUUUCUUUUUAUUCCUGCUUUUCCCCUAUUUCACGCUGCCAAAUAUGGACUUAAGUUUUUUUUUCCAUUAACUGUAUUUCAUUUAGCCUUUAUCAUUUUUCUUUUUUGCCCCUUUUAUCCUGCUACAAUGGUUUAUUUAUUUAUUUUGUCUUGAUUUUCUUGAUAUUCAUUAAGUCUUCCAUUAUUUUGGUUCUGCAAGUCAAUUUUCCUUUUGUGAGGUUUGUCUUAAAUCUAAAUGCAAAAUUUGUAUUUUGCAAUUCUGAUGAUUUAGUUCGUUUUUAAUGCAUAAUUGAAUCUUGCAAUUCCUUUAGUAAUUCUUUGGUACUGAAUUUUUGUACCCUUUUUAUGCAUCGAAAAACCUUCCAUUCGAAUUUCUUGCAAGUUUUGUUGUAAAUUUGUAGGAUGGAAGUUUUUACAUGAUGAUGUCUUGUUUUAAAAAGAAAUAGUGGUAAAAUUUUAUGCAUUUGUAAUUAUAAUAGCAUGAUAUUUGAGCUUUAUGAAGCAUAUAUAAUUUAUGUUAACAUUGAAUAGGUUUUGCAUAUCUCAUGUGCUUGGUUUUUGGUUUUUUUUGCUAUUGUUUGUCUACACAAUACAGCAAGAUAAACUGUACUGCAUCACAAUAAGCAAGUUGGAACAAACUUUUGGAACAUUCCACCAAAAACAAACUUUAUUUUUUAGACUCAUUUUUUGACAAUUAUAAUUGCUCUUUCUUUGAAAGUAAAUUAUAGUGUAAUGAAUUUUAACCAGAAUUUUAUUGUUGAGCCAAGCACAGCCUGGUUCCUUCUAGUUAAAUGUAUAGAGUGAAAUACCCUUUAAUUGGAUAGCUAGCAAUUUAUUUAUUUAUUUAUUUUCUUCUUGUUUCAAGUUAUUGUUAUUGAUUUCGUCCUACAGUUAACUACAUUCAGAACCAUAUAUAGAAAAAAGUAUUAAAUUUUGCCCAAAUAACUCAAGAAAAAUUUGUGCAAGUGAAGAUGUUGCUAAAUUAAGAAUGACGCAUAAGCAUCAUAGACCUAUCCAAAACAUGUCCAAUUGCUAUUUCCAAGAUAUUUGUUGUCCGUAAUUGUGUUCAUUUCUUCAUUUUUCUACUACGCAUUGCUGCCUUAUCAUUGUAUCAUUCUACUACGCAUUACUAUUUUAUUUUGAAUUUAUUUUUAUUACUAUUUUUUUUUUUUCCUUUUUGAUACGAUUGAUUGAAGGUGAAGGAUUUAAACCAGAACUCCAAAAACCCAACCAAUGAGCACGGGUGUAAGAUGGGGGAGUAGGGCUGCGAACCCCCAAGAAUUUCAAAUGUUUAUGGGAUAAUUUUAGAAAUUUUCCUUGAAGUUUCUAACAAUUUACUUAGCUUCUAUAAGGUUUUAAAUAUUACACCUACAUCCCUUAUCCAUUUAAAAUGACAAUACUAAACUUAAUAUUUUAAUAAAAUUCCAUUGUUGCUGUGUUUAUACAAACAAUGCAUUUUAUAAUUUUUUUUCCUUUUUACUUCUUAUUCAUUUCUCCUAUAUUUCAUUAGAAAUAUAGAAAAAUUAUCAAUAUUGUCCCUAACCUCUAUUCUGAUCAAAUUUUAAAUUAGUAAUAUUUUUUUAAUAACUUUUAAUAUCAUCCAAUUUUUUUGUAACUCUUUUUUAUCAAAAUCAAGAAUAAAUCAACAAUAAUUAAAAACAAAUGGCUAAAAUCACUACCAAACUAUGUUGUUAUAUCACUAAACUAGUCCAUAAACUUUUCUUAGAAAAAAACCAGUCCAUAAAAUUUUAAAAAAAAAAGAUAACACUUCUAUCUCUAUCUUGAAAAGAAUCUGUAUCCCCAAUAAAAACACUAUGAAAAGUAACCUAUUAUAGCAAAAGAUUUAUGGGAAAAUCCACUUUUUGUCCCUAGACUUUGAUUUAGGGACACAUUUCGUCCCCAAAUUUUUAGACGCACCACAUUUAGUACAUGAAUUAAUUAUUUUUUGCCAUAUUUAGUCCAAAAACGGUAAAUUGCUUAAUUUGGAAGGAGAAAGUCGUUUGUUUGGCACGUGGCCGUUAAGUAAAAACAAUUUUUCACCCAAAAUCAACGGUCACAUCAGCCUUCUUUGUUCCAAUUGAAUAUUUUACCCUUUUUGGACUAAAUGUGGUCCAAAAUAAUUAAUUCAUGUACUAAAUGUGGCGCGUCUAAAAGUUUGGGGAUGAAAUGUGUCCCUAACUCAAGGUUUAAGGACGAAAAAUGGAUUUUUCCCAAAGAUUUAUUGUUAUAGUUGAUUAUCAAACAAAAAAUAUUAGCGUGAAAAAUUUGACACUUAUUUCUUUUUAAUUGUGCCAAAUUACUUGACUAUUGUUUAGAAGACUAAAUUAAACUUUAUAGGAUAACAGUAUUUUAGGGUAUUCAUUAAAUUUUUGACCCUACUUUAAGGUUUGGUUACCAAAAUGUCAAAUCAAGGGAGGUAAGUAUAUGUUUUAAAACUUCGAGGGAACUAAGUGAAAUAGUCAGAAACCUCAGGAAGGGUUUAUGAAAUUAUCCCAAAGUUUAGUGAUACGAGUCUUUACCUCAAGAAACUAGUUCAUACGUUAAAAUUCUUGCCUCCUCCCUCCAAACUUGAAAUUAAGUCCUUGCCCGUGAGAAUUAGUGACUUCAUUAGUUGUAUGCUUUGCUCUUCUCUUGAUUGUUCUAUAAGUUGAAAGUAUAUUUUCGGAUAUUUAUUUUAUAUCUAUUACCCUAUAAAAAGUAUGAUGAGUUUUGGAAUUUAAGAGUGUAAACAAAAGUUGAUAUUAGUUUUUGAGAUACCAAAAUUACCCUCAACACCUAUAAACAGCCAAACUGUAUUGCAUUUCCUUAAUAAUUAAUAAGAAUUAUGCUAACAGUUACAAAGAAACAUUUCUUGAGUUAUGGUAAAUUAAACCAAAAGAAGAACAACUAAUUCAUUGUAUUUCAUGAAUAACUAAUAUCAAUUAUGCCAACUGUUACUAGAAUGAAAAGCAUUCCCUUGAGUUAUGGUGAAUUAAAUCCAAAAAAAAAAAGAAUUAAUUUUAUUUAUAAAUGAUAAAAAAUGGUGAAUCUUAGUGAUUAUAGUGUAAGAAAAAAAAUGAUAAAAUUACACACCUCUCUAAUAAAUGAAUAAAUUACUUUGCAUUUCAUUAAUAAAUAAUAGGAAACAUUCUAGCAAUCACAAAAAUGAAAGAUUCCGUGCUUUUUUUAUUUAUAUAAAAAAAAAAGAACAACAAAUUUUGUUUUAUAAAAUGUCCAUGUUUGGAGAGUACUUCAAAUAUGAAAGAAAACAUAAUAAAUUUGUUCUAUGAGUCUCUUGAAAAGUACCAUUAGUCUUUUUGUUUUUUUGGAUACGAGUAAAUUAAGUCUUAGUAUGCAUAAUUGAAAACUAAAGGAAUUGUAGACGGUGAAUUGAUACAGCAGUGAUAGGGUGUAAUUUUAUCAUUUAUUUUAUUAUUAAUUUCCUCUAUUACAUGACUCAAUGUGGAUUAAUUAUUAGAUUCUACUCACUUUUCAUAAUUUACAUUUAUUUCAGAGAGUAAAAUGAAAAUGCUACAACUAAUGCCAAUUUGACAGUCAUCGGGAAAGAAUUCAAAAAGAAGACACUCAGGAACAUUUUUGGAACAAAAGAGACGGAGGCCUUUUUAGUCAUUUUGGCCGAAGUCUUCCUGGAAGGGGAGAGCCGCCGCAAAGGAUAUCAAUAAAAGGGGGCAGCCGCAAAGCAGGAGGCAGGAGAGUAGGUUUUUAGAUAGGAAAUAAAGUAGAAAACAGGGAGGACUACUCUAGGAAUUGCUUUUGGUUGACUUUUCUUUCAUUGGCUUUUGCUUGGCUUUAACUCUCGUAUGUCAAUUAGGCACAAUUGAAUGAUUCCCUGUAGCUUUUCUCUUGGACGUUGGCUCUUCGUCCUUUGUGGUUGCCGCAAGAUGGCCGCAGCUUUUGCGUCAGUUUUGAAUGGGUUUUUCUCAUCAACAAUGAGUUAAACCCCUUUAUCUAGUCAAGGGACAACGGAUGCUUUGGAUCGUCUAAAAUUAUGAAAUCGAUUUAAUUUUAUCUUUUCUUUUUAUUUAUUGGUAUUCGCAUAUUCCCUGGUUACAGUGCUUAUGAUUGUUUAAUUAAUUGAUUGUCUUGGAUCCGGAUAAUUAGUUAAUCUGAUAAUCUAUUGUUAAUUGGGACGUUAAAUCCGUAAUUGUUUAAUUGUCUCAAAAUAGUGAUAACUGGCAUGAUUGGGUUUGUGUCAGGGAAAUACGUGUGCUAAUCUGAAAUAACCCUGGUAGUGUGUUAUUUGGUUAGAAUAGGGCUCCUCUAAUACGUAAGACAAUUGAGGGAUUAAAUCUUAUGGGCAUAUCUAGGAUUAUUUCUCAAUUAGAGCAGUGAUUAACGGGUGUACCUUGAUCACCGACACAGUAAGGAGGGGUUGACUGUCAUCACUUGUUUGGCAAUUAUAACCUAUUUAUUAAUAGAUAAUUGAAAUUGCAUGUGCAUCGAUGAUCAAUUAGGUGAACCAUUGCUGAAGUUAUUCCUUGACUAGAUUCUUAAUUAUCACUUGUUUGAUUUUAGUAAAUUGUUAUUUAAUUUCUAGUUGGCUAUUUUAUUUUUAUUAUUUUACUUUUAGUUGAAAUGCUUAAAUUGUCACCCCUGAUAUAAAAAUACCCCCUUGUCACUGUGAAUUUGGAAAGAAGCAAUUACACCCAGUCCCUGUGGAUUCGACCCUACUUACCACUAUCUACAGAAAUUAUUUCUAGUUUGAGUAGAUUUUUAUUAUUGCACAGGCUGACACCCUGUCAAGCAGUGAAAACCAAAGGAAGUCUCCUAAUAUAAGUACACACAUGAAUUUUGAAGACCACCUCAACCGUCAUUAAUUAAACCCGAGAGGGGAACUAGUUGACAUGAGAGCGAAUCUGGAAGCUUGGCUGGCUCACGGCUGUGGUCCUAUUCUCAUUUUUACUUCCGCCACCAGCUUGGAAAGUCAUUCACGAUCACGACUGCAAUCCACCAACCUGCUAUCAAUAUAGUCAUACUCCAAAAAAAUCGGCAUCUGCUCUUUUCCAGUUCCAAAAAAUAUUCUCAACUACAUUUCCUAUAUCCAUUACUUGCUCUACACUUCUUCCUACUAGCCCAAGUGUAAAAUUAGGCAUGAAAAUAAAACAUGUUUAUCAAAAUUAAGGACCUUCCUUAUACUUUCUGCCUGUUUCAACCUAAAACCUAAGAAGAACAAAUAAUUCAUUAGACAGAAAUGCUUUUCCAAUUUCUAGCUUAAUGACCCAACUUGUCAACAAUACUGUUGAUAGUAUCUGAAGCUUUGUCCAAAAUUUCCUGCUCCACUUUAGAAUGUUCCAAUCCAUCCCUUAAAGUCUUCAACUGGUCCUUGGAUGACGCGUCAAACAAAAGGCUAAAAGAACCUUUAAGCAGCAUACCACCGGUGUAUAGUCCUCCCAGCACAGUGCAACGAAUCAAGAAGCUCUCCACUUCAUCCAAUUUAACCAACUUGACAUGCAAACGUGAAAAAGCGGUUCGCAACAUGCCUAUUAAACAUAAAUCAAACAAUUUAGAAAAUGAGUAGAUUCUUGGAACUCAACUUGCAAUUAAAAAUAAUUAAUCAUCUCCUAAGUCAUUUUAUCCCAUCUUGGUCCGUCAAAAUAGAUACUAAAAAUAGAUUCUUGGUCCGUCAAAACCUUUAUCCCGUCUUGCUGGUUACUACUCAAAUACUAGGAGUAUAGCAGCACUAUUACAAACUCGGUUCAACAGUAUCACAGCUCAAAUCAGCACAAACAAACUCCUCAAACAAUAUAGUAAACAUCUAUAGUAAAAGUUUUUCGUACACACUCCUACAAUAAAAUAUUUUAAAAAUAUCCCCAAAAACAGCUAAUGCACUCGGAGCAGUCAAACUCAGAAGUUAUUUAGUUACUGUACACGUUUGCUACUACCCUACCCUGAAACAGCAUCUCCCUGCAAAAGUAACCUACACAAGCAUCAUUCCCGCAGAAGCUUUCCCAGUCAAACUUGGAAGGAAAGCAGAGGAAACCAACAAUCAAAAUUCCCAAGUCCCUUGCCCUAUAAGCUGUAUGUACAAUUCACGCAGUAACCCAAAUAAAAUAGGUCAAGAGCCUUCUACUGGAUCAAGAAAUGCAAUAGUAGCUUUACGGAACAUCAAAGAUCUUUUGGCUGCUGAACAUACAAAUCAGACAAGACACCAGAAGGAAAAGUACCAAAUUGUGGAAUGCUGUAAUAACACAAGAUAGAAACGUCAACUUUGCAUUUGCAUGAACUGCUUUCAAGGAGGGAAAGAAACCCAUUAACAAGUGUGGUUGUCAGUGUUGCAAAAGCUAAACCCUUUUAUACAAAAUACUACAUAAAGUGAUAAUAAAUUAGUUCAAUUCAUGGUUUCAUUUUCCAAAGUCCAAUAAUGAAAAUUCAUAAAAUAUCCUCAAACUUUCCUCUAGGCAGCUUUAAGGUCCAUCUUCUUUGCCCUCGAGUUCCACUCCAACAUUCCUUAAUAAAAAACCAAAAUGCUUAACUAGGAGCUUAGGAAAGCCAUUAACCAACAUUAAUAAAGAUAGACGACAUCAACCAACCACCACUCAAAGAUUACCCAAAAGUGCACUAGAAAGAAACUUGAAUUCUAACAGAGCAGAAACUAGGUAGGACUUCAUCCUAUUUAUGAAUGUGUUUUCUGUGCUCCACUUUCAAACAUGGUAAGAGCAAAGGAUAUCACUGAAUAAAUUAAAGUGAAAUUUUGCUUUAUUAUGUAUUAUAACACCUUCAAAUGUAUACCAGGUGAGAUAAGCAAGGAAGGUAAAGUUGGGUGCUUAAUAGGGAGGGUGAAACACUUGUUAUAAAAUGUGGCCUUCAUUUUGGUGGCACUAGAAGUUGGGAAGAGGUGGAAGGCUAGUCUUUUUUCUUCCACUUCAUUUCAUCAUUGCUGUUCACCUAAUAUAUUUGGAAUGUGUUUGGAUGGGAGUGUGUUUCAAAAAUUAGUUUUUCAAAUACAAUAAAAUUUUUUAAAAAGUACUCUAAAAGAUAAUCUAAAAAUUAGUUUAAAUUUUUUUAAAAUUUUAAAAAAUUUUAAAAAAUAUCUCAAAAUAUAUUCUAGAAACUCUUCUUUUCUUAAAUAUCCUAAAAUAUUUUCUAAAAAUAUUCCAAAAUAUAAUCUAAAAACUCUGCUACAGCAAAUUUUUUCAAAAAUACCCCCAAAAAUAACUAAUCCAAACGGAGGAUUAUUCGUAUAAUUUAGGGCACAUAAAAGUAUAGUUAAAAAAAUGAGAUUUUGUAGCAAUAGGUCAAUAUAUAAUAAAAACAUCCCCAUUAUUUAUAAACUACAACAUUGAUGGAAGUUAAAUCUUGAAAAAAAGUAGAAAUCUAUAUCAUAAAUUGAGCGACAUAAGGGUUCAAUUAAAUGUAACUGAAUAUUUAAUUUGAUAAGUAAAUGAAAUACUUACAAAUAUGUUGCCUUCGAUUUGAUAAUCUUUUAUGAAGGUGGGAACAUUCUUCACACCAAUCAACUCCGAGUACAAAUACCAAUAUUGUGGGUUUAAUUAAUUCUGUUGAAUUUUGUGAAAUUCGUACUAUAAAUGAGAAUGCACGAUUUUUGCAUGAAUUAAUGUGUUGGUCAAACAAUGUACCGCCAUUUUUCUAAAAAUUAAAAGCAUACGGGAUUUAGAAUUAUCAUUUGUUUUAGAAAGUUUGUAAAUAAUAUUGUAUAAACAUAUAUACGUAUAAAUAAUUUAUACCUUUGCUUUUAAAUCUCUACGAUAAGAAGCAUCACAAUAAAAUAUGAAUCGUGCAUGCCUGUCUUGAAGAGCGAGAUAUAGAUUAGCAUUGGAAUCUCUAACUUGUAUGCUAAUAUUGUAUCUGUUAAGAAGAAAUUGUGAUAUAUAAUUAAAAAAUGUAAUUAAAAUUAAAGACAUAUGAAAAUAAUUACCUAACAAUAGUGUGGACUACGUCAUUAUAAUGGAUACACGCCAUUUUUGAAAAAUGAGAUUGACAUGGUUUUCCAUAAUUUUUGCAUAACUUAUGGAACAUAUUUUCUAUGUUAAUGUUUUGAAUGUAAGCAUGUAUCCGAAAAUAUUUAACUUAAAACCAUUCAAAAAAUGUAUAGAUUACAAUUAUUAAUUCAAAAUAAUAUGUAGAUAAUUGUUAAUUAAUUAAUUAAUUGAGAGAAUUUUUACCGUAGGUGUGACUGCAAAUGUUUCCUCCUUUACAAUCUGGUGAGUUUGAAAUUUAGGUGUUGGUGAAAGAGAUGGUCAAUUGCAAUUUUUGGUAAAAUUAUGUUCUUAUCUCUUGUUAUUGGAAUGGAGGAGUUUUAAUAGAAAAAUGGAAUUGCUAAUUGGAGGAGUAUUAAUUGAAGUGGGAAGGUGUGUGAAAGGAAGAGUGUUUGUUGGAGUGAAAUUCUUAUUUGAUAGAAACGUGGUAGUGUGUUUCAAACACAGAUCUGAUGUAUUUUAUGAAAUAAAUUAAAUGUAAAAUGCUAGAAAAAUGGAAUUGAGAGUGGGAAGGUGUGUGGAGGCUUGUUACUAAAAUUCCCUUCUCAAAUUUAUAUAGAUAUAGAUAAGUUCUGAAAAUUUCUGAUUUUGGCAGUUGAUAAGUUACUCGCUCCAUGGCUGAUGCUUUUGGGGGUACACUGAAAGUUUGAAUUCCCAUGUUUUUCGAUGGCAAGGAGAGCAGGAGAGCAAGAAAAUACGCAACGGAUCUUCUGUACCACACCCUGUCUCACAUCCUGUCCCACUCCUUAGAAUCUCGCCAAGUGUCCCUUAAUAAACCAAACCCUCAAACAACCCAACUCGAACCAUAUUAAGUUAAUUAAUCGAUUAACCAGGCAAAGAAACUUUAACCAGGCAACAGCGCUACUCCUAUUUUUUUCGCAACGGAUCUUCUGUACCACACCCUGUCUCACAUCCUGUCCCACUUCUUAGAAUCUCGCCAAGUGUCCCUUAAUAAACCAAACCCUCAAACAACCCAACUCGAACCAUAUUAAGUUAAUUAAUCGAUUAACCAGGCAAAGAAACUUAAUCUCUUUAACCAAUACAACCAAAACCAAGAAAAAUAAAAACUCUUUAACCAAAAUCACAAUUUAUCAACGGAAAAAGCCCUAAAACCCAAACAACCUCUGUCCCCUUCAUCAUCUUCACCAUUCAGCUUUGACGAAAUAUUCACGGAUAUGGUCCGAGAUGCCGAAAAGGGUUUGCACGAAGAUGCAUUGGCAUUGCACAUGAGAGACAACUUUUUUACGAGGAUGAGAUAAAGCGUCGAAGCUCUUCCCAAAGGUGAGAAACAACUUAUUUCUUAAAAACCUUGGUGGGUUUCUUCGAAGCUCUUUCUUAUGGUAGAAAUAUAUUUAGUUUUAGUGUAAAUUUGUACUGGGUAAUGGGUACUUCCGCUUCCGAAAAAAAUUUUGUUUUUGGAUGCAAAGUUAAUUUAGCUUUUGUUGUUUGCGUCAAAGGUCAUCAGAUUAUGUGUUCUCAAUGGGCAAUUGGACGAAGCUCACCACCUGUUCGAUCAAAUGCCUAAGAGGAAGAUGAAUCAAACUGUAAGGUAAACGAUGAACCAAAACAGGCUAUUUGUACGGUGAAAAUAUGGGUUGUUUGAUAAAAAAACUCAUCAGAUUAUGUGCUCUCAAUGGGCAAUUGGACGAAGCUCACCACCUGUUCGAUCAAAUGCCUAAGUGUCAUGAAUCAGCUUUUCUGUGGAAUUCACUGAUAGCCCCCUAUGCCGAAAAGGGUUUGCACGAAGAUGCGUUAGGUUUGCUCCGAAAAGGGUUAUGCCAAAACUCAGUUGUAGACAGCAUUUGGAGAACAUUCUCCUUGCUGAGUUGUGUUGAUGAUGAAGUUAUAUCAGUUCUUAUGUUUCUCUUGUUUGGCAGAUAUCUGAAAUCCCAAAGUUAACUUCUGGUUGCUUGUUUUGUUGGUAUAAUUGCAAGCUUUAUGGUAGUCUUGUUAUUACAUUUUAUCAACUUCUAUAUGACAAUAGUAUUUUGGAUAAAGUGCAGGUCAUCAUCAAACUUUUCAAAAGUCUCGUUCACCCAUUCAACUAUUUUUUUUAUUUUUUUUUUAUCAAAUAGCCCAUCGAACUCUUAAAAUGAUUCAUAUUACCCUUUAUGCUAAGGUAUGCUAUGAAAACUAACAGAACUUAUGCACGUGAAUGGACAUUUCCAUCAUUUGCCCGUUGCACUAUUUUGUACUCCAUUCUUUGUUACAGGUGGUUUUGACGGUCAAUCUAUACAAGACAGGAUUGUUCAUUUGUUAAUAAAGUAUGCAAAGCAGAAAUGGCUCAUUUGCUAACAGAGUAUUCUUUGAAGAGGCAAUAAAGAUUGAUCAAAAACCACAAAUAUAGUCUCUGAGUUGUGUUGAUGAUAAAGUUAUAUUAGGUCAUAUGUUUCUCUUGUUUGGCAAAUAUCUGAAAUCUCAAAGUCAACUUCUGGUUGCUCUGGGUUCGUUGACUUUGCAGAACAAAUAUUGGAGAAGAGGAAGAUGAACCAAACUCUUCUGGCAAACCAUUGUACUUUGCUUGACUUGCUUGAAAUUCCUCGGCUGAUGGACACGUAUGUCUUUGACCACGUUGUAAAAUAAUACAAUAAAUUCAAUUAAUGGUCUCUGUUCGGAAUUAAUAUUUACUAACCUAUGCUACAAGCAGAUCAAAUAAGUUCAAUUAAUGCAAUAAAUUCAAUUAAUUCCUUUCGCUCUCUAGUGUUUUUUUUUCUAUGUGAACCGUGAAAGUGUUCAACUUGGCCACUCAACAAAUAGUAUACCAGAAAAUGGUCGUUUAUUCCCAGCAUGUCGCUUGAUUCAAAUCAUCUCAAAGCUAGAGAUGGAAAGUGGGCAUCUUGUUGAGAUAUACUGCAGAAUUUUAUUUUCUUCACUAGUGGAAGGAAUAAUGCAUAACUAGAAAUGAUCUCAAAGCUAGAGAUGCAAGUGCAGUUUGCUAAAUUCCAGUGUUGCAGUAUAACCACUACGUCCCUCAAACAAUGAGAAGCAACAAUCUUCCCAUGCCAAAACAGAGCGGAAAACAUGCAGUUUAAUUGUUUUCCAUCAAAGAUGCACCUUCCCGGACACUGUUUGUUGCCCGACUAUGCCUUGGAUCCUUGCCAAUUAAGUCAAUGCCGCCAACUUGUUCACCAACCCAUUAGAUGAAAAGGAUCUUCAAAAGAUAUGGAAAGAGUCAGAAAUCGAGUAAGAUGCUGAAACUUCUCUUUCACUGUGUCAAAUGUCUCUGCUGCAAAGCGUAUUUGACAACUUCAUAAAAUGAAACAACAAUCCCCACUGAAGGGCCUGCCCGGGCCACUCGAGGACCAACUCCUGUAAAAAGUCCCUUUAUCCCUCCAUCCCUGUUACAAAGUCACGAUGAGUUAGAAUAGGCCAAAAAGGACAAGAACCAAGGAUUAUAUUGAUAAAAAAUAUUUGAAGCAUAUACACCAAAAAAUUUAGAUAAGAAAGCAAUGCUAGUUUCUCAUUCUUAAAUUCGGUUGCUGAGAACAAAAAUAAAGCCUGUAGAAACAAAUUCUUAGACAUGAGAUUUUACAAAUUCAGGCCUGGAUACACUUAGUUGGCAUUAUGGACCAGUAUCACUAAGAAAACAAUAAAAAAAUAGAACUCAUUUCCUACAAAGCUCAAUCCCAGUCUGAACCUUCUUUAAUCAUUUUACCAAAUUUUUGUGUUUAACCAUUUAUACAUAUCAUCCGAAUAUGCAAACCUUAGAUGAAACAGAACCUGCAAGUUAUACCUCCAUAUCUCAAGCAAUGUUUGUCUUGUGGUCAUGAAAUCCCAAGAAAGGUAAAUGUGCUAUUUUUACCUUACAGUUUGAUUCAUCUUCCUCUUAGGCAUUUGAUCGAACAGGUGGUGAGCUUCGUCCAAUUGCCCAUUGAGAGCACAUAAUCUGAUGACCUUUGACGCAAACAACAAAAGCUAAAUUAACUUUGCAUCCAAAAACAAAACUUUUUUUGGAAGCGGAAGUACCCAUUACCCAGUACAAAUUUACACUAAAACUAAAUAUAUUUCUACCAUAAGAAAGAGCUUCGAAGAAACCCACCAAGGUUUUUAAGAAAUAAGUUGUUUCUCACCUUUGGGAAGAGCUUCGACGCUUUAUCUCAUCCUCGUAAAAAAGUUGUUUCUCAUGUGCAAUGCCAAUGCAUCUUCGUGCAAACCCUUUUCGGCAUCUCGGACCAUAUCCGUGAAUAUUUCGUCAAAGCUGAAUGGUGAAGAUGAUGAAGGGGACAGAGGUUGUUUGGGUUUUAGGGUUUUCUCCGUUGAUAAAUGUGAUUUUGGUUAAAGAAUUUUUAUUUUUCUUGGUUUUGGUUGUAUUGGUUAAAGAGAUUAAAGUUUCUUUGCCUGGUUAAUCGAUUAAUUAACUUAAUAUGGUUCGAGUUGGGUUGUUUGAGGGUUUGGUUUAUUAAGGGACACUUGGCGAGAUUCUAAGGAGUGGGACAGGAUGUGAGACAGGGUGUGGUACAAAAGAUCCGUUGCGAAAAAAAUAGGAGUAGCGCUGUUGCACUUGAUUCUAAUGGUGUUAAUUUUCACUUACUUAACAUCAAAUAACUAGAUGCUUAACUCAAAAUGAUCAUGGCCCUUUCUCAUAAAUGUAACACUCAUCGCAUGUCUAUCUAAGAGUGAUGGGAGGCAAGGUUCAAACCUUGCCUUCCAACCCCACCUAAGCCUGUCAAAGGUCCGGGUCUAGAUUCGGAUCCGUCAAAUUAUUCCGGGUAUGGGUAGGGAUAUAAUUUUGGGAUCCGGAUCUGUUUUGUCAAACAAAAAAAUGGAUCGGAUACGGAAUGUGGUAUUCCGACCCGUAUUAGACCCAAACCUGAAUAUAAAUUGAUUAAGAAUUUAAUAUAUAUAUAUUUAUUAAUAUAAUAUCCCAAAUUUACUUCUCUACCUAUUAUUUUUAAAAUAUAUAAUUUUUUCGAGUAGGCCGGACCAGGAUCCGAGACCCGUCAAAUCUGGUUCCGGGAGAAAGAAUAGAAGACCCGUCGGGUAUCCGGGUCAGAUCCGGAAUGGGUAUAGUAUAACGGGUCUGAGUCCGAAUUUAUUAAUUUCGGCCCAGACCCAACUCGUUGACAGGCCUAACCCCACCAAGCCUUAAAGGCUUAGUGGUGACCAACAGUCCAAAGGCUGUUUAUAGUGUCGGUUAUUUGUUCCCAUAUUAAAAUUUGUUUGUCUUUUGCAUAAUAGCUUUGUGAGUUGAAUUUACUCCUGUAUUAAUCAAUUUUUUACAGGGGUGUUAAAGGUUUCAAUUUAUGAGAACUUGUUGUUAGUGCCACAAAAGCCUGUUGUGUAUCGCAUAGUUUUCAAUUGCUUGUAACUUCGUAGUAACCACUGUAUCCAAAACAUAUCUAGUAUGAUUUAAAAUUUAUAUUACUAAAAAACAAAAGUUCAACGGCUUUAUAAUGGCAAAAAAUUUCAUGUACAAAUAGUUUGUGCUUUUUGUACACUACUAAUGUGUACAUGCACCCCAAAAACUUUUUUCACAAUUUUGAGUCAUGGAAUUUUGUGGCCCUAACUGGUAUAUCAAUGACUAAUUUUAUGGGUAAAUGAAAUCUAAUGCAGAAUCCCCACCAUGUCUAUGAUAGUUAGAUGAAUUAAGAAUUAAAGUCAAACUAAUACCCAACCCAACCGAACACCUCACUGCCACCUAAUGUGGGUGGUGUAGCAUAUAAUAAUAAUAAAAAAAAAAAACCAAACGAACACCUCACGGAGAUAGAAAUUCGAGAGUGACAAUUAUCCUUUGAUUGAAGUAAAGGAGAAAAAAAAGAGUUAAGCUUGGCUAGUAAUAAUUUACUUAAGAGUAUUUCAGGGGUCAAACUUAUAGGGACGAAUUAUUCAGGGGUCAAACUUAUAGGGAUGAAUUAACUUUCUCUACUUUAAUUAUUAUAGAAAAAUAAUAAAAUUCAAAGUUAAAAAGGUUUAAUCUCUAAUUAAGAAAUAAAAUAAAUAAACCAUACAAAUAAAGUAUAAUUUAGAAAAAAAUUGGCAAGAUACUAGAGUUUGAAUUAAUUAUCUAAUUAUUUUCUUAGCAUACUAGGAACGUAUCACAUAGGUGUACUUUAGAUUAUCUCUUGAUCCAUCUAAUAAGUGCUCAAUUAAGUCUCGCGUCUCUGUCAAUGCAUUUAAAAUAACUAGAUUAUCUAGUCAUUUCUUAACAUCAUUUUAAUUACGUCAUACAAACCAUAAACUACUCUCCUGUUUAGGCUAAACAUAGGUUAAGUAUCUUCAUAUAUGAACCCUAAAAGCAUGUCUAUGGUGGCCAAAUAUAAACACGUACUUAAAACAAGAUGGAUAAAUCAAGGCAAAAGUCAAUAAUUUAACUUGAAUAUACAAUCAAACCUCUUUCACAAAAUCCUAACCCUAAAAAAUUAGUUCAAUAUGGUAAGAUUAAACAAGAAUUCAAUAUUAAAACUACAUGACUUGGAAUAAAGAGUAAGAGGGACUUCUCAGUUGAUGCCGUCUCCAAAUCCCGUGCCUAGAUCCUUAAUCUUGAUUCUUGAAUCUCGCACUAGAAGCCCUAAAACUAAUGUUUAGAUAUGUGUUCUCUGUCUAAAAAUGUCCCAAAGUACUCCCUAUUUUUAAGUUGCUAAAGUCUCCAUUAGAUCCCAAAAGAAACAGGCUUCUUAAAGUUGAAAAAAAAAGCCCACGUGAUUUUCCAAUAAUGUCUGCCACCAAGUCCGGUAAGAACUAAGAAGACCGACGUCGAACAUGCCUUGAGUUGAGACCAAAUAUUAAUGCAGCUCCAGAACACAACAGGUGACGAGUCCGGCAGCGGACUGCGAGCAACUAUUCUUCACAAUUCGAUUUUUCACUCCCCGCUCGCAUUUCACGCACAACUUGCAUCCAUUCUUCUUCAAGUUCAAUCUUCCUCCGAUAAAACAGCUAUAUCACUAAAUUAGGUAAUUUCUACCCUCCUUAGAACACAAAUCAAGUGGUUUAAGCACCAGUUACUUGUGUGAAACAAGCGUAAAUACUAUCCCAUCACUAAGAAUAUGAAAAUUUGGAUUUUGCCGCAAUAAUGGAGCAUGUCCGUCAUUUUGAGUAGGAGCUUUUGAUUCAUAUCCUUUGUAAUUGCACAUAUACAAAAUUUUCUUGUACGUUUCACUUGGUAUGCUUUAUGUAUGCACAUGGACCAAAAUAGCGUGAAACAGUAGUGUCUUAUAUAUUACGAAAAAUGAAUUAUUUUCUCCUCAAAAUGACUGAUUUAUUAUAAUUUUCGGAAAUUGAAGCUCUUCACGUAAGUCCCGGAUUCCUACUUGGAUAUUGUUAGUCUUUAAUCAAGUUGCACUUUUCACUUUUGGGUACCUUAUGCUCUCUCUUUGUAGGUAGAUAAUUGAAUCAUAAAAAAAGGAAGAUUUCCUUGGCAGCCAACUCGAGGUGCAGAAAAGUCUAAUGCACCAAAAGCUCAAGAUAAUAUAGGUGGUCAGGUAUUGAAAAAUGAGGGAUGAAGUAUUUACCUAACCUAAAUUUUUAUACUUUUAAAUCUUAAUUAAUUAUACUUUUGAUGACGAACUCUUUUUUUUUUUUUUUUUUUUAAUGUAGCGAGGUGGUGCACCAAAAGGUAAUGUAACUAGCAAUACAAACACCGGCACUUAUUCAAGCUUAGCAAAAAAGUCAAUUGAGACUCAUAUUUUAUGAUGAAACUAAGGUUAGUCCUUUAAUGCGAAAUGUAUGUAGGACCUCCUUAAAUCUUUAAAAGAAUGUUUGCAAUCCCGGAAGCAAGGCAAUGAAAGCAUAUCCACCAAGAAUGAAUGGUAAAGAAAAUUUCUUGUUGUAUUAUUUAAAUGAAUAUGCUAUGAAAAUUUUGUUGUAACUGAUUGUUCAAUUUACUUGUUAUAUGGGGCUGGACGCAUUUCUUUUUCUGUCCAAUUAACAUUAUAAAUAGCUUUAGUUAUAUGUUUUCUUUUUUGGGUAGUAAACUGACUGAAAAUGACUUCAUAGGAAAUAAAGAAUAAGCUCAUUCAGGUUAUUGCACAAACAGAAUUUGGAUCAAAACAGAGAGGUUUUAGUGACAAGAAAGCAAAAACAAACAAAAUAAGUGAUGACUUUGUCCCUUUCUUUCUUGAUUGCCAUCUUGCUAGGUUUUUUUUUUUUUUUUUGGGGUACUAUAUCAUAUAAAAUCGCGAAGACUCUUCAAAUAGUGAAGAGUUUUAUAUUGCAAUAGACUAGGUUCAAAAGUGAUAGGAUUGCUGUGUUUGCGCCUUUGAUACUACUGAGUUUCCAAAGAUGCAAAUCCUCUAUCCUAAUAUAUGUACGUUUGUGUAUAUAUUGAUUUUGUGUAAUGACUCUUUUUGUGGUGGAAAUAAAAGUGAGUGGGAUUUUGAUAACCAAUAUAUUGAUACCCAAAUGGAUUAUGACAUUGAAAACAAGUGAGUCCUCAAAUGGUUUAAGUAUUCAUUUGCUGCAAUAUUUUUUUUUCCUUUUUUCCUUAUGGAAUGGACUGUUGUGGUUGAUUUUGUGCAUCAGUUUGGUACAAUUUUAGUAGCAAGGGAAGAUUUAAGAAUUCUUCUGAUGGCUUUAAUUAGCUUAAGUCUAAUAACAGUCCCUUUUGUAAUUUUCUGGUUUAGUCAAUUGUUUCUUUGAAUGAGCUGAAUGCACUUUUCCUUACGGGAUGCAGAACUAAAUCAAAGGCUCAGAGCAGCAUGAUUGGGUUUUUGUUAAGGAGACAUGCAAUCUAACUUAAAUGAAUCCUCGUAUCAUAUUUGUUGGUUAGAACAAAAUUUUUCCAUUCCUUAAUGCAAUUAUGAAAUUAAAUUCUACGGUUGUACCUAGAGUUAUCUUUCGAUUAGAAAAGUAGUUAAUGGUUGUACCUUAACUAUUGAAAAAAUAAGGAAAAACUGGUUGUUAGAGAUUAUUGACAACUAUAACCAGUUUAUCAAUGAAUGCUUGAAUUUAUUUUUGCAUCAAUGAUCAUGAAUCAUUUUUGAAGUUAUGCCUUUGGCUAGAGUCAUCGUUAUCAUUAUUUAGAUUUAAUUAAUUUUUGCAUGUUUCCUUUGUUAGAAUUAAUUUGUUAGUUUAAUUUUCUAGGAAAAAUCCCCCCAUUUAACUCUUGCUUUAGAAAGAAAUAAAUCUGUCAAUUCAUGUGAAGAAGAUUCUAUUUACCACUGUGCUCUGAUUACUAUAUAUAUAUAUUGUGGAAUAGGUAAUUAUUUUAAUUGGCUGACAACUUGUUAGGUACCUUAAAAUAAUGCAUGAGAUAUUUUCUGGCAAAUCCUUUGUGUGUUUUUUCUUUUUCUUUUUUUUUUUUGCUCUUAAAGUUUUGCUUGUCACCCAGGAGCGGAUUUAAGGUGGGGGCCCCAAAUUCUUAUACUCCUCUGUCCCAUUGAAACUGUCAUACUUUCCAUUUUGGUUUGUCCAAAAUGUUUGUCACAUGCCUAAAAUGGCAAAUGAAUUUUUCUCCUUCUUCUAAUUUUACCCUUCUGACACUAUCUUUAAAUAUGUGGGUCCAGCAUAAAUUGUCAAAAGAAUAAGACACGCGUUGAAGUGCGUGGCUGAUGCUAGCCAAUGUUUACUAGCGCGUGCAGUGCAAAAUAAGCAAAAAGUUAGUGUAGCUUUAAUAAUGCAGUGGACCCAAAGUGUUGACUAGUUUGCAUAAACCAUUUGAAUAACUUCAUCCGCACCACUAUAGGCAAAAUUUGGACAGUUUGGCAGGAAUAAUUUAGGAAUUACAGACAGCUAUCUCUUCUUCUUAUCUACUGUUGAAAAAUAUUCCAAUUCCCAAAAAAUGACAAACUUUUCGGGACUGAGGGAGUAAUACCUAUAUAAUUUUAAUAUCAUUUUAAGUGUGCCCCCAUAAUUUUUUUAGAAAGAAUAUGAAAGAAUUACAUAAUUUUUUAAGUUAGUUUAUAAAUUAAAAUUCUAAAAAGAUACAUGGGGCACAAAUUCCAUUUAAAAUAAAUUAAAAAAAACCUUUUCAUUUCAACUAGCAAGUACCAAUCAUAUUAUUUACUUUCUUUGGGCCCCGCUCCCCAAUUUCCCUUUCCUCCUCUGGUUCCCCAUUUUUUUCCCCCACAACCGAGAGCCACUACCUUCCACAACUAAGCAGCUAGCUACUCUUUCUCUUGAUCAAUUCAUCUAAUCAUAUCAUUCACUUCCUUUGUCCCCACUUCCUAAUUUCCUUUCCCUCCACUGGUCCCCCAUUUUCCCUCCACAACUAAGAGCCAUUCUUACUUCCACAACCAAAUUAGUUAUCAAAAUAUAAAAACUUGUAGUGAGCAAUUGUAAAUAGUUUAGUUUGUUUUUAAAAUAAAAUUAUUAUUACAUUAAUAAUUUUGAAUUUGUCUUUUUAUGUUUUUUAUGGAAUAUAUGCAUCAUUUAUACUUGUUGGUAAAAUUUUUUUUUUUUUGCUUAAAAAACUAGAAAAAAAGUAGGUAAAAAUUUUAGUGUUGCUUUUGUUUCUACUAAGAAUUUUUUCUGGCUCCGCCCCUGUUAUCACCUACUAAUUAUUGUAACUAUUUUAACGUAGGCGUACACUGUUCAUUCAACAUUUUGGGAGGACUGCAUUUGCUUCUUGAUUGAAGAACGAUGGAUACAAAGCUAUCUUUUGCUCUUGUAAUGUUCGGCCCGCAGAUAUUUGCGUUUGGACUUGGUUUGCUUUUGUAAAGUUGUCUUGACUUAGACGUGAAAUUUCGGAUACAUACUACUUAUAAAAAUAUUUGUAGGGUGGUGUUGAAUUUAUCUACUCAAUUGUGAAUUGUGAAUUUGUUUCUUUGUUUGAAAAUUUAAUACCUUAUGCUGCCUGAUUUUUUGUGCCAACACAUAUAGGAGUUACUUAUCCAGUUUUUGUUUUAUUUCAUUUUGUUUUCACGUGUCCUCACUUAUGCUUAUUUCAAUGUACAAUUUCAUCUUGAAAAUCCAGAUAGCUGAAACGGCCAUACUGCAUGACAGGAUAAUGCAAAUCAACUUUAGAUGAAUGCUAACAUGUUAUUAUUGACACCUGAGAGAGUUCAGAAUCAAGUUUCAUUCUUUGAGAAAGAACCCUUUUGUUAGUAAAAUAUUUUGAUUUGGGAUUGGGAAAUGAACAAAUUUUUUAACAAGCUCAAAUUUUAUGUUUACAGCAACGAAACUACCUGUAAAGUUGCUCAAAUUAUAUGUUUAGAUGCAUUUCAUGGUUGGAUUUUUAAUGCCGUCCAAGAGUUGGAUUUUAUUUUUAUGAGCAAUCCAAUUUACAAGAAAGUUAUUUGGAGUAGUGUUAGAUGUUGGCUCUUCUUUUUUUCAUUUCGUUAUCAAUAAUGACAUUUUAUAUAUAAUGGAAAAUUAGUGUAAAGUGUUGAUGUAUAAUAACACGCUAGAUUUUCUCAUUAAUCUCUUAAAGCCAAAUCUUCUUUUGUAUUGUCGACGGCCCUGUUUGGCACUUGAGUUUUUUAUCAAGUUUGUCUGCUACAAAUUUUUUAAAAAUUUUAGCUACAGUAACCUCAAAAAACUUUUCAAAUUUUUUAAACUAUACACUUCAAAAUAUUCAAAAAUUUACACAUUUCAAAAAAUUUUUUAAAAGCUUCUACAGUAUGUUAAGGUAAAGUUUUAAAUAAACACCCAAAAAACUCACUUACCAAACAUUGUUCAGGUGCAAAAGCAUGCAAUUUGCAAUAAAAGUUUCCUUUCCUUACCCUGUUUGACUAUAAAUGCCAAUGACUGUCAUCGCUGCUGUCAUGGCCCCAUUCAACAAACGGAAUGGGUGGCUUGUGUGAUUGUGUUUUGCAAUCAAUUUGUUGUGUGAUUGUGUGGAAAUAUUCUUGUUUAACCUUCGAUAUUAGAUGUAAUUUGCCGUGGAAAAUAGCAUAUAGUAUUGCUUAAAAAAGAACAAAUUAUUCAGCUAAAGUUUUCAUGGUACUAUCAUGAAUGCAAGUGGGGUAUUUAUUGAACUACAAUUAUUGAACUACAAUUAUUGCGUCGGACAGUGACUCUGUGGCUGCGCAUCUGAUUUUGACUUUUGAUAAGUUGACUUCAAAUUUGCUUGAAUUGGGAUAAAUUACUUUAACCCUUUUCCUUGCUUUGGACUGUAAACGAGAAUUAAUCAGAUUUUGUAACAACAUCAAUUUCUUUUACUAUAACAUAAAUACUCAUGCAAAUAACAUUAAUUAGUGUCUUUGAAUUGCAAAAUUAUCCCAAAUAAUAUUUUGCUUACACCUCAAACACAUUUUUCAAUCCACUUUUUUAUAUUCCCAACUAAUUUUUAUCUCACAUACAUCAUAUCAUAAAAAAUGUUACAGUAAUUAUUUCAAAUAAUACUCUAUCCAAAUACACUCGUGUGAACCACUAAAAAGAUCAAUGAGUGAGCCAUUAAAAGCUCACAGAUUUGUCUUUUUUGUUGGUGGAAUUUGUUUUUUUAAGCACUAUCAUUAUAUAGAAGAUUAAUCAUUUAUCUUGUGUUUUCCAAGACUCUUAAUACUAAAUAUCAAUUUGUCAUACAAUUGUCUAUUUGCAAGUGUUAUUACCAUUUUUCAUCUUUUUUCUUCUAUAGUCUACACAAUAGUCAAUACUGCAAUAUAUCUUCAAAAAGAGAAAGAAAAUUUGUCAUUAUACCUAACAUUGUUUUAAAAUUUAAGAAAAAAAUAUGUGCUAUGAGCAGAUCCUUGAGUUUUUUUUUUUUUGGGUUCUUGCAGAGGAAGUAUUUACUACACCAGUAAGCAACUUGAAAAACAGUUAGCAAAUGAAGAAGAAAAGAAAGUAAAAGAAAUUUGGUCUAUGGUCAUGAUUCAGAUGAACCAGAAUUGAACCUUAUCAUCAAACUUCAAAAGCCGCCAUAGAUAGAAUAACCAAAUGACCAAAACAGUACUAAGCUCAGAAUCUUCACCUCAUGUAUUAUAUAUCCAUUCAGAUUAUACACAUUAAACAGAUUCCAUGUUCCAUUCAAGUUUUUCUUUGUCCAUACCAUGUCUCUGUUGCUCUUCUUCUUCAUCAGCUUUAGCCUCUCAAAUCUUCAAUUUUCAACCUCCCAACAACAGCAAAACAUCUCAUCUUUCUCCAAUUUAGAUUCACCAUGGACUCCAGAUCAGAACAAAAUCCUUCUUUCUCCCAACUCCACCUUUGCUGCAGGCUUUUUCCCACUGCCCUCUUCACCAAGCCUCUUUACAUUCUCAGUUUGGUAUUAUAGCAUCCCAAACAAGACAAUAGUCUGGUCUGCAAAUGAUAACUCCCCUGUUAGCAACUCUGCUUCUUUAGUCAUUUCGCCGUCAGGGGUAUUAACCUUGAUUAACAGCUCUUAUGGUCAAAAUUUGUGGCCUUCAAGGCCUGUUAGCAACUCAAACUCCACACAACUCAUCCUCCAGGAAAGUGGCAACUUGGUCUUUGGGACAUGGCAAAGUUUUGCUAAUCCAACUAAUACAAUUCUUCCCAGUCAGAAUAUUAAUGGUACAAUUUUAACUUCCAAGAAUGGGAAGUUCAAGUUUAUCAAGUCUAAUCAACUAGUUUACAAUGACAAUCCCUCCAACUACUGGAGCAUUGGUAAUGCUUUUCUCAGCUUGGAUAAUCUGGGGAAGAUUUCCAUGGCGAACGGCUUUUCUUACAUUUCGUCAGACUAUGGGGAUAAGAAGUUGAGAAGACUGACUCUUGAUGAAGAUGGUAAUCUCAGACAUUACAGCUUUAAUCCAAUUUCUGGUGUGUGGACAGAUGUUUGGAGGGCCAUGUACAAUUUGUGUCGAAUUCAAGGUACUUGUGGUGUUAAUGCUAUCUGUGUAUAUGAUCCUUUGGUUACUUUUGUUUCUUGCACAUGCCCUCCAGGAUUCAAGAAAAAUUCUCUUGAUCCCAAUUCUUGUGAUAGGAUAAAUCCAAUUACAGACCUGAAAAGUACCAAGUUUUUGCAAUUGGAUUAUGUCAAUUUUACUGGAGGAACGAACCUGACAUUCUUUAUGGUGUCAAAUUUCACCACUUGCCAAGCUGAAUGCCUAAGGAGGCAAAAUUGCCUGGGAUUUCUGUACAGGUAUGAUGGUACUACUACUUGCAUACUUCAAUUGGACAGACUGUUUUAUGCAUAUUGGUCCUCAGGUGUUAAGGGUGCCUUUUUCUUGAGGGUUGAUAAAUCUGAGACAGCCACUGAACCAAAAUUCACUGGCCUGACCUCUGUCUUGGAAACUUCUUGUCCUGUCACAAUUAAGCUUCCCUUUCCACCGGAAGAGUCCUCUGCCACCACUAGGAACAUUGUGAUUAUAUCUAUAUUUUUGGCAGCUGAAUUGAUUAGUGGGGUUUUCUUUUUUUGGGCUUUUCUCAAGAAGUACACUAAGUAUAGGGACAUGGCUAGGACAUUUGGGCUUGAGAGUGUACCAGCAGGUGGACCUAAAAGGUUUAGCUAUUCUGAAAUUAGAGAGGCAACCAAAAAUUUUUCUCAAGUUGUUGGAAAAGGUGGUUUUGGUAUUGUUUAUAAAGGAAAUUUAAGCGAUGGUAGGGUUGUUGCUGUCAAGGUCUUGAAAAAUGUUACAGGCGGGGAUUCUGAUUUUUGGGCUGAGGUAACAAUUAUUGCCCGGAUGCACCAUCUCAAUUUGGUCACAUUAUGGGGUUUUUGUACUGAGAAGGGUAGGAGGAUGCUAGUGUACGAGUAUGUGGCCAAUGGCUCGUUAGACAAGUUCAUUUUUCAGAAAAACGUUGAUACAUCAAAUCUGCAACGAGAAAAUAUUUCGAAUUCGAGUUUCGGUCAAAGACCUGUGCUUGAAUUGAAUAUCCGAUAUCGGAUUGCAGUUGGUGUGGCAAGAGCAAUUGCAUACUUGCAUGAAGAAUGUUUGGAAUGGGUGCUACAUUGUGACAUAAAACCUGAAAACAUCCUUUUGGGGGAAGAUUUUUGCCCGAAGGUAUCCGAUUUCGGGCUAGCCAAGUUGAAGACAAAGGAGGACAGAAUGAGCAUGUCCGGAAUCAGGGGCACCCGCGGAUACUUGGCGCCGGAGUGGGUUCGAGGUGAUCGACAAAUUACGUCAAAAUCUGAUGUCUACAGUUUUGGCAUGGUUCUGUUGGAAAUAGUGACUGGUGUGAGAAAUUUUGAGCAACAAAAUUCAAAGAUGGAGAGUGAUCAGUGGUAUCUUCCAAUGUGGGCAUUUGAUAAGGUGUUCAAGGAAAUGAAUGUUGAUGAGGUCUUGGAUCCAAAAAUUAGGCAGUCUCAUGAAAACAGAUCCCAUUUAGAUAUAGUCAAUAGGAUGGUGAAGACAGCAAUGUGGUGCCUUCAGGAUAGACCAGAUGAUAGGCAAGUGGCCAAGAUGUUGGAAGGGACAGUGGAGAUCACAGAACCUAAAAGGCCUGUAAUAUUCUACCUGGGGACGGAUGAACAUACUGGGACUUUGAACAACCCUACCCAACAUUAGCCUAUGAAAUGUAGAUUGCAGAGCUUUUAGAUUGAUGAUUCUCUACAGACGCCUAUCUUUUAUCCUGUCUUUCUACCAUGUAAAAAUCAGUUUUGUCAAUUGCUACAGUGUUGUAAUAGACAUGUUGUCUUGAGAAAUGUAAAUGAUACUGAAGGAGAGUAGUAUAUCUUUGUUUGGAAUGAAAAUUUACUGAUGUAAUCAUAGCAGUUUUUCUAAGACAAUAUACUAGCAUAGGAUAGCCCAUUUUUUUGUGCAAGUCUCAUUAUUGACAAACAUAAUUUUUUUUGUUGGCAUUAAAAUGUGCAAACUCAAAAAUUUCUAAGCUUUCUAACUGAUUUUAAGUCAUUCCUUGAAUUUCUAAAAUAACAAGUUAGCUGUAAACUUUUGGAAAUCUACUAGUUUAGUACAAACUUCCAUAGUCAAGUGCGUCGGGUGGAUGUCAGCUUGUUAGGAAGGAAAACUGGAAAACUGGGCUAUUUUUCAUCCAUAGUCAUAUUUCAUGUUCAAUCUAGAUUUCUUCUCCAUAUUUGUUAAGCAAAUUGCAAUGAACUAAUAAAUGUGGGGAAGUCCAAAUAAAAUCACAACGGCAUAAGAUUGUUUUGCAGCUUCUCUCAAGUUGACAACUAUGUGGCAUCUAAAGCAUGAAAUUAACCAUCUUAGCAUCCUAAACAAUUAUUAAUUUUUCAAGUAUCUAAGUUACUAUAUUACAGCUUUAGCACUAACUCUAGAAAAUUACUAGGGUGACAAAUUUAGUUCCCUUGUGAUGUAAAGUCAGUACACUUUUGCAAUGUGAUACGAAAAUGGAUGGCAGGGAAAAAGUUUCAUUUUUUUUUUUUGGCUUAAGGAAAAAGUAAUUUUGAUUUCUAUCCUUUUUUUUUUAAAAAGAGCAACAUCUAUUAAUUUCUACACUAAUAAAUAUCAUGGAAGGAUCCAAUAGGGCAAGGUAGGAGUUGGAAAAAGACUCGAAAUUUUAACCACAUAAAUUCUGGGAUAAAUUGGAGUUUGAAGGUCCCUCCUAAUAGUUAACUUAGAGAACCACUAGGAACAACCAAAGACCAGGGGAGGGCUCUUAAGUAAUAUUGUUAAACUCAUCGGAUUGCGACUCAAUUAAAAUAUUAGGUCGAGGGUCAAUUGAUCGGAUCGAUCGGACCAUUCUAAAAAAUCCACUGACGUUAGCAUGAUAUCAUAAUUAUUUUAUAUUUUAUAAGUUUCAGAAGUAUUAAAAUUAAGUUCUUAGUUAUAUUCGGCCAAUCAUACAAAAUGUUUCAAAAAUAUUAGACUUGCAAUCAAAUAUACACCUAAAAAUUAUAUAUAAAAUGUAAAUUUAUGGCUAAAAUAUGUCUAUUCUCCAAAAUUACUUGAAAAACUAAAUUAAAACAAAUUAAUGCAAGUUGGAAUCAUUGAUGCUAAAUUGAUAAGAUGAUAGGGAUGAAAACAACUUGGUUUAGUGAUCAUUCAGGAAAGCGAGUGAUUUUGGUAUUUCCACUAAGUGGGUAGCGUUUUCUUAUUCUUAUAAAUAAAUGAAAGUGUUACAAUUUAGGUAACUCAAAUUAUGCAUGGGGAAAAUAAGAAAGAAAAAAUUGAGAACGAGAUCAACCAGUUGAAUCGAGCCAUUGGUUUAGCCGAUUUUUGAUGGUUUUGAUUGAUUUUGAUCAAAGCAGUUUUGUACUAUAAACUAACUCGAAAAGAAUGCUGGUUCACGUCCGAUCCGAUUCGGAUCUAACAAUACUGCUCUUAAGGUUUUCCCUAUUGCCAAGGGUGGGAAAGGUUAAAAAAACAAAAAAAAAAUUAGAUAAAUGAUUUUUAAUAACAUUUUUACAACUGGAAAACUUAUAAGAGAAUUAUUUUGAAAGAUAAAGUAAUUUUUGCUCUUUUUACUCUUUUAAAUAGUACAAUAGAAAACCAAUGUUUUAAAAAUCGGACCGUUAAUUGAACCGGUGAAGUGAAAGGAUCGAGGUUCAACCGGUCGGACCGGUUCAACCUCGGUUCAAUGAAUUUUUUAAAAAAUAAUUUAUAUAAAUAUAUAUGUACAAAAUAAGACAUGUAAUGGACUAAUUUAAUAUUUUAUAUGAUGAAAAGUUUACUAUUUUUUAAUAACUUGAAUUUUUAAAAAUAAAUUUUUUAAAUUAUAAGUUAAAACAAAUAAAUUUCAUCUCAAUUUCAAUUAUAUCUAAAUCCAACCCCAAAAUAUCACAAUAUUUUGAAAUUAUACAAAAUUCAUGUCUCUGAGAAUUUAGAUAUUAUGAAUUUAAAUUUUAAUUUACGUUUUGGGAUUUAGAUAUUGCAAUUUAAAAAAGAAAAUUUGGAGUUCAAAGGAAAUCAAGAAAAUCGAAAAUAGAAAUGUAAACUUGAUAAGAAACAAAAAAUAAGAUAAAAGUGAGUGGUUGUGGCAUUAAAUAAUUUGAGUUAAAAAAAAUUCUUUUUUAACUUUUUUCAAUUUAAUCGACAAAAACAAAAUUAAAAGAUGGAAGAAAACAUCAAUAAAUUAAAAAUAAAGAGGUUUGAUUAAAAAGGGAGUGACAAAAGAAAAGAGGAUAGAGAGAGAGAGAGUUGAAAAUUAAAAAGAAAGAGCCAUGAGGGGAUGAGAUUUUGUAAGAAAAAUGGAAAAAAGAAAUAUGAUUGUUUGCUUUAUAUAAAUAAGUUAUCAAAAAAAACUAGUAAGAUGUGAUGGUGCAACGGUUAAUACAUUGAUCUUUUAUUACAAAGGUCUUGGGUUCGAAUCUUGAUUGCUGCAUUUUGCAAAAUUUUUUUUUUUAAAAAAAAAAAAAAGAGGGAAAACUGAAAACUGGAAAACCGUCGGUUCAAUCCGGUUCGGCGGUUUUCAAGGUUCAACCGAUCUUUGACCGAUUUUCUAGCAAAGUCAACAAUGUCAUUGAACCGGACCGGUGCCAUGGCCGGUUCGCGGUUCAACCGGUCGAACCGGCCGGUCCGGUCCGAUUUUCAAAACAUUGUAGAAAACUGAUGGAUGUUAUCCUCUUGAUUUUAGCUUGAUACAAGUCAAGUGACAAUGCAAGUUUGGGGGUGGGGGCAGGGGAGGGAGUUAGGAAGGGAUAAAUGAGUGGUAUGGAAUAAGUGAGUGUAGAUGAAAGGUUCCAGUCUCGAGACCACUUACUUACACUAAAAAAAAUCUCUUAGAAUAGUUAUUUAAAAAAAGUUGACAAUGCAUGUUCACAUCUGAAUGACCAAGAAAAAGAACAUUGUACCACUCACAAGAGUCUUUUAUCAUUAAUUUACUCCCAUCCCCUACGUGAAAGACAAACUAAAGAAUACAACGGAUCUUUUCAAAGUAUAAUUUUUUAAAAAUUCAAACAUAUUUUUCAAACAUCUUUUGAUCUUAUAAAUAAUUUGUUAAAAGACUUUCUAUAGCAAAAUUUUGAUAAAAGAAUGCUCAAAACAAGCAUCGAAAUGGUUAAUUCAACGAAAAACUUUAAGAUUAAUCCUUCAUGAUUUCUCUAUAUAAUUUUCUUCUUUUUACUCUAAUACGAAUAGAUAUACGACACAUAAACCCUAUUUAAAUUCUAAUUUUUUAACAUGUGACGUGGACUCAAGCAUUUCAGGUAAAAAAAUUAUUUACUUAUAAUAUUGAAAAGAAUAAUCCAAUACUUUAAUAUUAAAGUCUUUUUCAUUAGGCUCACGAGAUUUUAUCUUAGCCCCACUAGCCAUAAAGGCAUUGCAACUAGUCAAUUACCAACUACCAGGAACGAAGGGCGCAGACGGGUUGCUAGUAACAGUAGUUAUGAAUGAUUUAAUAUUUUUUAAAUAAAAUAUAAUUUGACGUGAACUACUUGUAUAAUUUAAUAAUAAAGAUAUAAUUAUUAUAUAUACGAUCUAUACCUAUAUAAACAGCAACAGGAUAUUAUAUAUCUAUUAUAAAAAUAUAAAAUAUUUAUAUAAAAUAUUUAAAAAUAUAUUACACACUAUUCACAAAUGAUUAAUCUAACCCCGUCCCUGUCACCAGCUCUCCAAAAGGGCAGACAGGCCAGAAGCCAAGCCCAUCCAGCACGUGCGCUAGAAAAGACUCAUCAAUUGAAAAUAGCCUACCUUGUGGACUUUCAAAGUCAACUCAAUCGACCGAGAAACGUCCUCUUUUUAUCCCAGUUCUCACAAUUAUGUAAUCCAAUUGCUCAGCUCUCAAUUCUACACUUCCCAUUCACAUUCCUUCCCUCCCUCCUCCGAUUAUGUAUCCUUUGAUCUUCUUCAUCAUCUUAAGCAUCUCAAAUCUUCAUUUCUCAAAAUCCCAACUCCAAAAACCAAAAGUUUUGUCAUCCUUUUCCAUUUCUAACUCAUCAUGGACUCCAACCGAGAACCAAAUCCUUCUUUCUCCUAACUCUACUUUUGCGGCAGGCUUUCUCCCUUUGCCUUCUUCUCCAAAUCUUUACACAUUCUCAGUUUGGUACUAUGGAAUAACCGAAAACAAUGCUACCAUAGUAUGGACCGCCAAUUAUGACUCCCCUGUUAAUAGUUCAGCUUCAUUGAUCAUCAAACCGACUGGGGAGCUGAGCUUGAGCACCCCUUCUGGUAAAAAUCUCUGGCCUUCAAGACCUGUUCGCAGAAGAAACACAACAGCUCUCAUUCUUCAAGAAAGUGGGAAUUUGGUUUUUGGUGAUUGGGCAAGUUUUGAUUAUCCCACUACUACAAUACUUCCCAAUCAGAAUAUUACAAAUGCAAAGAGAGUUCUUUCCAGUAUGAAUGGGAAGUUCAAGUUUAAUGAGUCUAAAGAACUUGUGUACAACGGAGAUCCAGAUUAUUACUGGACUGCUGACAAUGCCUUCUUGAAGGUGGAUGAUCAGGGGAGGAUUUCAAAACAAAACUUCCAAUCAUUCAUUUCAUCAGACCUGGGAGAUCAGAAGUUGAGACGGUUGGCUCUUGAUGAAGAUGGAAAUCUCAGGCUUUACAGCUAUGACUCAAGCUUGGAUCAAUGGGCAACUGUAUGGCAAGCCGUGUUCAACUUGUGUCAAAUUAAAGGUACGUGCGGCGCAAAUGCUAUAUGUAUGUAUGAAACUUCAGAUUCCUCUACUUCUUGUGUAUGUCCACCAGGGUUCAAGAAAAGCUCCCAUGAUUCCUGUGAAAGGAAAAUUCCAUUGACUGAUUUGAAAAACAGCAACUUCUUCCGUCUGGAUUAUGUGAAUUUUACCGGAGCAGCGAACUCUUCAAGUAUUCGGAAUUUGGCUUUAUCUGAUUGUCAAGCUAAAUGCUUGGCUGAAGAUAAUUGUCAAGGCUUUCAGUUCAAAUAUGAUGGCAAAAAUGACUGCAUACUUCUGAUGGAAAGACUAGAUUAUGGGUUCUGGUCUCCAGGUACUGAAACUGUCAUGUUUUUGAGGGUUGAUAGCUCUGAAACAGAUGAAAAUCCAGAGUUCACUGGUAUGACAACCUUAAUGGAAACAGCUUGUCCUGUUACAAUCAAGCUCCCCUUACCACCUGAAGAAUCCAGGGCUACAACUAGGAAUAUUGUGAUCAUCACAACUAUUUUUGCUGCUGAACUGAUUAGUGGUAUUUUCUUCUUCUGGGCCUUUCUCAAGAAGUACACUAAGUAUAGGGAUAUGGCUUGGACAUUUGGUCUUGAAGUCAUGCCUGCAGGUGGUCUUAAAAAGUUCAGUUAUGCUGAGCUGAAAGAUGCUACAAAAAAUUUCUCUGAUGUUAUUGGAAAAGGUGGUUUUGGUACUGUUUACAAAGGAGUUUUAGGUGAUGGCAGGGUAGUCGCUGUUAAGGCCCUGAAAAAUGUUGCAGGAGGGGAUGCUGAUUUUUGGGCCGAGGUAAAUAUUAUAGCCCGGAUGCAUCAUCUGAAUUUGGUCAGGCUAUGGGGGUUUUGUACUGAGAAGAAUAGGAGGUUGUUGGUUUAUGAGCAUGUGCCUAAUGGCUCACUGGACAAGUUCAUUUUCCAAAGAGAUUUGGUCAAUUUGGAUCUUGACGAAUCCCCACAGGAAUUGGCUGACCGGAAACCCGUCCUUGAUUGGAAUAUCCGGUACCGGAUCGCCCUCGGCGUGGCACGGGCAAUUGCUUACCUGCAUGAGGAAUGUUUAGAAUGGGUGCUGCAUUGUGACAUUAAGCCUGAGAACAUCCUCCUGGGAGAUGAUUUUUGCCCAAAAGUAUCAGACUUUGGGUUGGCUAAAUUGAAGAAAAAGGAGGACAUCGUGACCAAGUCAAGGUUCCGGGGCACACCUGGAUAUUUGGCUCCCGAAUGGCUCCGACCGGAGCCCAUUACGUCGAAAUCCGACGUCUACAGCUUUGGAUUGGUGUUACUGGAAAUAGUAGCUGGUAAGAGGAAUUUUGACCAGCAGAACUCAGAGGUGGACAGUCAUGAAUGGUACUUUCCAAGUUGGGCAUUUGACAAGGUGUUCAAAGAAAUGAAUGUUGAUGACAUUUUGGACCCAAUAAUCAAGCAUUCUUAUGACAGCACUGCACAUUUUGAUAUGGUCAAUAGGAUGGUCAAGACAGCUAUGUGGUGCCUUCAAGACCGGGCGGAGAAUAGGCCAACAAUGGGAAAGGUAGCCAAGAUGUUGGAAGGGACCGUGGAGAUCAUUGAGCCGAAAAGACCCACAAUUUUCUUCAUUAGAGAUGAGGAUGACAAGUCCAUCAAUGUGGCAAUUUCCAUGACUCAAACUCAACCGAUUGACACGUUAAGCAAGUGACUGUUAAAUCUCUGUCUUCUCCUUUCUCUGUCAAUAAUUUGGAGUCUCUUUACUGGAUCGUCAGUGGUCUAUUAUGCUGAUUUGUACUCAUUCCCAGAUUUCUACGCUAUAGCUUUUGAACAUGAAGAAAUAAAAGCAUAGUUCCGUAUGAUGACAUUCUAGAGAAGAUUGUUCAAACAAGAUUUCUCCAGUAGCUAGCUGUCUAGGGGUCAAUAAGGUGAUUCCAACCUUGGUUGUUUGUGGUGUAAUGUACUGUAUGGAAAAUAUUUUGUUUGAGUAAUUUCAGCAUUUGGACUCUCGAGCUAAAUUACACAAUUGGAUUUUUUUUUGAAAAAAAAGAGGAAUUGUUAAUAAUGGAAAAUUUUUGUACUUAAUUAUUUGUUAAUGGGCUUAAGUGGAGCACCGGUGACAAAAGGGGAGUGCAAUUAAUUAUUCUCAUGUUUAAAUACUCGAAUGCUAAGUAUAAGGAUUGAAAGAUAAACCAAUUUGUUCAAAUACUCAAAUCAAGUUUGACUUGGUAGGAGUGUGUUCAAACUUAGUUUACCAAGUAGUUAAGCCAAUCUUGAACAGCAUUUUGCACUCAAUAAAUGUUCAAACUCGGCUCAAGUUUGGCUUGAUUAGCAUAAAAUUGAAACUUAUCUAUAAAAAGCUCAAUCUACUCGAGCUCGAUUCGAAUUCGACUCGAUAGAAGUUCGUUUGAAUUUGGUUCGAUAGAUAAACAAAUCAAACUUGAACAAAAUUUCGAUCUCAAUAAAAUAAUCAACCAGAUUUAAACACUAAAAUAUUUGGUUUGAUUAGGUUCAUUUACAGUGCUGUGCAAGCUAAGCAAAAAGCACAUAUAGAGAAUUUGUCAUUACAUUGCAUAUUAUCAAUCUAGGUUGAUUCAGUACUCAUCCACAUUCGUAGAUCUUAUAAUGGUCUCUCGGCUUGGCAAAUUGUUCGAAGUUCAUCCGUCACGCAAUUUUCACUUUUAAUGAACACAGAAUCUUAGAUGACUUCUCCCGUGUUAUGCCGAAAAGGCCAAUUCUGAUGGUUGAUGAAUUUUCCAGCUUAUGAUUGUUGAACCUUUUCCAGCCUCUGAAAUUAUUGUUUGAAAUUCUUGAUUAUCAAAUUAACUCGACCUGGCUUCUCAUUAUUUGUCAAGAGUCGACAUGUUAAUCAAGAAGUGACAAGCUUCCAUAAAAAUUCAGACAGUAACCAUGGGCACUAAUCUUUGAUGAUUGGCAAGAUCUUCGACAUGGAAGGAAAUUGUUGGGAUUUCAAACAUAAUAAAACUAGAAUAUGCUAAAAUUUGGAAACCAGAAUUAAUCAAUUUCCCAGUAUACAGUUUCCCUACAUUAUUAUUUCCAAAGAAUUAUUGCUAUUUUCUUAUUUUUUUUUUUAUAAUGGGGUUUGAACUUUGAAGUAAGUAAAAGAAUGUUUACUUGGAACGUUUUCUACGAAGGAAAGCUUUCUAAGAUAUUGAAUGCAAAAUUAUACUAGGUUUCUUCCUAAAUAUAAUUUAACGGCGAUUAAAAUUAAAGGAAGUCUAAACCUAAUUCUAUAAGUACCGCCCCCCAUGUAUUUGUUCACAAAAGUAAUAACAACAAUUAGAGUAUCCUUCGUCUUUGACAAAUCUGAUUGAAGUUCAUCCUCUUGAUUUCGAUGGCGCAUUACGCUGAUGCGGUAAUCCUAGAUUUACCUUUUAUGUUUCUGUUAUUCUCUAAUUAAUGAUCUACCAUAUAAAAAGUCCCCAUAGAUAAAGCAGUAAUUGUCUAGAUCUUGAAAUUAUUGUAGAUUUUAAUAAUGAAUCUUGCACCUUAAAUUGUAUUUAUGAUUAAUUAAUUGCCAUUGUGGGAGUAUUUUUAAUCAGUUGCAAUAAUAACACGAGGGUUUUGUUGACUAGCCCUAGGCAGCCAUGGGAAAGUUCAAAGACUGGACUUGUAUGCUACGUUUACACUUUCCCAGAAGGAGCCUUUAGAUGCUUAGUUGCCUUCUAUGUAAUUUUUGUCUUUUUGAGGAACAAAUUUGUGAUUAUGUCUGAUUGAGGCUCUGUUGGUGAUUAGUUAUUAGUUAUUACAGUAUAAAAGUUGGGACUAUUUUCUGCAAUUAGUGCAGAUUUUAUGGAAUGGAAGGAUCGAUAUUUCUUUUAUAAAAAAAAAAAAAGUUGAACUAUUUUCUGUUCUUUUGGCUUCAUAUGCUCAGUCUUGUACUGGUCUCAUAACCUGUAUAUGAAGAAGCAGUUUCAAUAGAUUCAUGGAUUUGAGUUCGAAAUCCAGAAUCGACAAUUGAGAUAACAAUUAUACUUGAUGCUUGGUUCACAUCAAUAGCUUAAAAAGCAAGAAAUCCAAAUUUUGUAGUUAAGAGUGAAGAUUGUAUUUCCAUAGCUCCGUCAUAUUGUUCACGUUUGAUUAUUUCGGGUGAUUUUAGAUUUUAAUUUUGGAUAAUUAAUUUUUUUUUAUAUUCAUGUUUCCUUUUCUAUCUAAAUUUUAGAUCUUUUUAAGAGUGAAAAAAAAAGAUUAAAUGUAAAAUUAUUAUUUCUAUAUUCACUUGUCAUAAUCAACUUUUACAAAAUCUAGAGUAAUAAUGCUCAAUAGUGUGAUUAUUUUUUAUUUUUUGGAUAAACUAAUGAAAACCCUUUAUUCUGCUAAUACUUUCAAUGGGUACAACUUCAACUUUGUGGUAAGGUGAACAUCUAAUCAAACAUCAAGUUUUCUGUCUUUGACACUGAUUUGAAGAUUCGGUCCUAUGAAACUCAAAAAUAAAAGAAACAGAUCAAAUCGAAUGCAAUUUGAUUUUUCAAGUUCAUUUCUGAAAUCAACCUAAAAAAUAUAGCUUGUGAUUCUGAUCUUUAUCUUUUUCAUAAUGUUACUUAUCUGUAGCAAUCCUAAAAUCAAUGUUAUUUUGAUUUUCCUACAUACUAUUUUGUAGGCUUGUGUUUUGAAAGUGAACGUUCACUGCGAUGCAUGCAAGAUGAAGACAAUGGAAAUCCUUAGCUCCAUCAUUGGUAAUUACUUAAUUACUCACUUCUUCACUCUCUCUCUCUCUCUCUCUCUAUAUAGGAAUAAAUGAGACUAUUGCAAGGUAUCUUACAACAAAUUAAAGACGUGGGAUUUAUGAAUAGUCGAUCAUUAAUGUUUAUCACUUAUAUGUUUUUUUUAGUAUUGAUCACUUAAUUGAUUAUUCUUUUUUUUUUCAAGUGUAAGUGAAAGGAUCCGAAUUCUUCCCUCAGAUUACCUAACUCACACCCCAUCCCCCCACUUAAUUGGUCACUCACUUGAUGAAUCAUUAAUUAAUUUAAGAUUGGUGUGUAGACACCUAUGCUUGACUCAGAUUGUUUUUUUUUUUUUUUCUUUUUCCAGUUUCUCUAGUGCAGUAUGAAAGAAGGGGGAAAAAAAUCAAAAAGCAAAAAAAGGGAAAACAAGAGAGUUGAUUUUGCCCAAAAGGGGGUUAAUUUUAUUCACAAAAAAAUCUUUUAGUUAUCAUUGCUUGGGCCAUUUUGUUUUUGUAUUAAUCUACAGGAAAUAUUAACUGCACUCCACUUUUUGUUAAUCGCACUUCCUAUAUUAUUUUUAUCAUAUCGACUUCAUUUAUUAGACUAUGAGAUAAAAUAAAUGAUAAGAGUGUGAUUAACAAAAAGUGAAGUGCGAUUAACAUUUAUCAAAGUUAAUUAUCCGUCAUCCCAUGGUUUAUCAUUUUUUUUCAAGUCAAUAUUGAUAUCCUCAAAAUCAAACACGCAAGUGCUGUUUCUAUGAACUCUGUUGUAGGGGUAUAUUCUGUCUCCAUAGAUGCAGAAAAAGGGCUUGCAAAGAUUUACGGUGAGGUUGAUCCAAACAUGCUUAUGAGGGCAAUAGCAAGAGCCGGGAAACAUGCAGAGCUAGUUCAUCUUGACGUAAAGCAUCCACAAAUCAAAGCAAACGCUUCACAUAGUCGCCGGCUCGGCUACAGUUCUGAUACGCUGGAGAACUACUGUGGCAACGAGCAUGUUGCAGGGAGUUCGUUGCCUGAUGGUGCUUAUUAUGGGCACGAGCAGUGCUACUAUCCCAAUUCAUACGACAGAACAAACGUAGGAUAUGUGCCCUCAUAUCCUUCUCAGCCAGGAUACAACAAUCCAUAUGAUGAUGAGAGCUUCAAUACUUGCACCAUAAUGUGAAAACUUGCAUGGCUAGAAUGUUUUACGUGUUUGUUCUGUUUAAUAUAUAUACCUCCCUUUUCUAUGAUAGCAAGUUUGUCAAGUGUGGAAGAGUUCGAACUUGGCAGUACCAAAAGUCAAUGAGAGUUGAGGAAUGAGUAUUUAAAAGAGGAGAAUUUGUAUUAUUAUUUAGUGGUAAAUUACUUUUGAGUUUGCUUUUUAAUUGGUUUGGGGCAAAUGCAUUUACUAGUAUUGUAGAAUUCUUCUAUUAUUAAUACCUAGUAUUUAUGAGUUAUGAUCAAUUUUUAUUUAUUAUUUUUGCAAAUCAUGAUAGGCCAUUUCUUUUUUCUUUUUUUUUUAUUAGAGUAAAAUCUCAGGAACUAAUAUAAUCAGUUGCACUUUACACUCUUUAAGAUAUUUUAAUCCCCAUUAAAAGCUCAAUAGUUAUUCGAAGUGACACCUUAUUUUCAAUUAGGGGAUUUCUGCAUUUAACUAUUUUCAUUAUUUGUUCUUUUGCUAGUAGUUAGGUUAUGUGAAUGAUUGUGUGAAAAUCUCAUUAUCCGGAACUUAAUUUUUUUCAUCAUUCUUUAAUAUUUGUAUUGAUGGGAUUUUGAUUUCAUCUCUACCAAAUCUGUUAACAGUCCUUUACACAACUUCAUUUAUUUGCUGGUUUAGUCUGUGAAUUCUUUUGCAUCAAUGCCUACCAGUGGUACCAGAAGAGAUUUCGAAAAUGUAGAAAAAUUUCUCCAACAAAGUUGCUAUUUUCACAACUUUAGCUUUCAUCAUGAACACUGUACAAUGCAUUCAUCCCAUAUGUAGCCGUUGAAGUUUGUGUACACCACUACUACUUUCAAAAUGCUUGCUUAAUGUUCUUUCUAAGAAGACAAAAUUGGGGUAUCACAUGAAGUUAUAUGACCUUGAUGGGCAUUAUUCAGCAAAAUUGCCCAGAUUAACAUCUGUUCCAGGUCAAAUAUCUAAGCAUCAGUAUUCUUGAUUUGCUGUUCAAUGG
This 46392-nucleotide long non-coding RNA is filed under the name Coffea arabica (coffee). RNAcentral's name for it is "long non-coding RNA (CARA_LNC007893)". The record is from RNAcentral. Lineage: Eukaryota; Viridiplantae; Streptophyta; Magnoliopsida; Gentianales; Rubiaceae.